GGUGAUCGUGCUCCCCGCGGGCCACCCGGCGACGUUCGUGGCCGGGAACGAGGGGAACCUCGCCCUGCUGUCCUUCGGCGUGGGCGCCAACAACGACGAGGAGGUGUUCGUGACCGGCGGGAACAGCGUGCUGAAGCAGCUGGACGAGGCGGCCAAGGCGCUGGCGUUCCCCCAGCAGGCGAGGGAGCUGGCGGACAGGGUCAUCCGCGCGCAGCCGGAGUCCGUGUUCGUCCCCGGCCCGCAGCAGCAGCGCCGCGUCGCCGACAUGUGAGCGACGAUCUCCAGCGCGCGCAUGCGGUCCCUGGAGCUGCAUGCAUGCAUGAGUGUACAUGUGAGUGUGACGGGAAUAAAUAGCUAGCACGGUACUGCGUACUACAGUACGUGCGUGUAGCAGAGGAGAGGAGAGGAGAGACGAUGCUUGUGUUCGUGCGCGGUUAUGCAUGAAUGCAUGCAUGCACGUGAGUUUUCUAUGCAUGUAGUAGUACGUGAGUUUUCCGGUAAUAAAAGACGUGACCUUGCCCGUCGGCUCGUUGGAACAUGUCGGUGAAAAUUGCACUUUUACUCCUACAGUGACGUGUCAGUGUCACAUAGACCGAUCGAUCGAGUAACAGACAAAAACAAGACUUGUCAUGUACCGGAACGGAAGAACCGGAGCACAGGCCAAGCGAUCGACCUGAGUCACGCUCCUCUCGCCAGCCACUUUCCUGCCGGAGUCAGGACAGUUACUAGUAGGACGAGCGAAGCACGGGGAGUGACCACCAGCAGAGCAGUUCACAGACAGCAAGCAAGCGCGAGGAUCGAUCGAUCGGAGCGGCGGCGAUGGACGACGACUUCGGCUGCGUGAUCGGCGUCGCGGGGAGGGGGGAAUUCGCGGUGGUGGCGUCGGGAACCCCCAUCGUGCACCUCGACUCCCACAGGCUUCUCGCCAUCUCCGGCAACCAGCAGAACCGGUAACCACCGAGCUAGAUCCAAUCCACCUCCACCCGCCUCGCUCGAUCCCGGCCACCUUCCAUGGCUUCUGACCUCAGCUUCCCGCCCGUGUUUUGCUUUGGCAUGCAGCGCAAGGUUCGCGAGGACGAUGUGCCGCAGGUGGAAGGGGCUGACCGGGGUGCCGUACCCCGACACCGCCACGGUCGCCGACCUCGCGCGCGAGCUGCUCGACCGCGGCCACUCCGUCGAGGCCCUGGUCGUGGGCUACAACCAGGCCCAGCCCCACGCGGCGGUGAGCUGCGUCGGCCCCGCGCUCCCGCGCGGCCAGUUCCUGUUCGGGGCCGCGGGCCGGGGAGCGGAGGCCUGCAGGGCGGUGCUGCGCCGGGGCUACCGCGACACCAUGUCGUCCAGCGACGUGAUCGAGCUCGUGGAGAGCUGCAUCGCGGAGAUCCGCCGGCUCGGGGUUCCCGGGGCUGCCGGCGAGUUUGCGGUCCAGUAUGUCGACAGAUGGGGAGCGGCGCCCGUGGGAAGGGAGGUCAGGGAGACAAUGGCUAUCUAUCGACAGAUGGCACUCGAAGUGUUAAAAUCACAUGGGUUAGCCCUCAACCCCAUUCUCCGUGAAGAUCACAUCGCUUGUGUGUUUGAUCGAGAUUGACGUCCCGCCCCCUUUUGAUUCAGGGCAAUUGACGCCCUCUAAAUCCUGAUCGGUACUAGAGUACUUAUAGGCAAAGGAUGACUGACUCGGCUAAGAGCAUCUCCAAUGGAUCCGAAAAUCUUCCCCACUAAGAGCAUCUCUAGCAGACGCGCUUCGCUUUGGCGAGGUAUAAUUCUUUUACAGCGCCAAAAUAGUCUUUUUACGCGCGGGAGCGACGAAAAGGUUUUCCAUAUGCACAAAAACACAAAAACACGGCGCCCAGUCCGGCGGCCCCACCUGCAGCAGCCCAGAUUUUGCAGUGCGCACAAUCCAUGGCCCAAAAUUUACAGCCAGGGAUACCGCUUUUAGCAUGUGCGCUAAAGUUUUUGUGCGUGCUCGCAGCCCAAAAUUUGCAGCCCGGGAUACUGCUUUUAGCACGUGCAUUAAAGUUUUUUGUGCAUGCUCUAUUUUACAGCAUCUGCUGAAGCGCUGUUUUUUUGUAAUGGUUACAGGGGCUACCCAAAUACCUGCUUUCAGGUUAUUUGGAGAUGGUUGUUUUUGCAGACCCCAAUAACCCCAUCCCGCAUCCCAAUACCCAACUUGACAUAUGUGCNNNNNNNNNNNNNNNNNNNNNNNNNNNNNNNNNNNNNNNNNNNNNNNNNNNNNNNNNNNNNNNNNNNNNNNNNNNNNNNNNNNNNNNNNNNNNNNNNNNNNNNNNNNNNNNNNNNNNNNNNNNNNNNNNNNNNNNNNNNNNNNNNNNNNNNNNNNNNNNNNNNNNNNNNNNNNNNNNNNNNNNNNNNNNNNNNNNNNNNNNNNNNNNNNNNNNNNNNNNNNNNNNNNNNNNNNNNNNNNNNNNNNNNNNNNNNNNNNNNNNNNNNNNNNNNNNNNNNNNNNNNNNNNNNNNNNNNNNNNNNNNNNNNNNNNNNNNNNNNNNNNUGCAAUGCAGUCAACGACAAUGGUGCUUUGCGGGUGGGCGCGGCGGUGCGUGGCCAACAUCAGUUGGUGGCGGCAGUGAGGGUGGGGGUGGCACUGUGGUCAGCGGUGGUUGACGAUAGGUGUGGUGGUCGUCAAUGGCAUGGGCAUCAUCAGGUGGGAGGGUGAUUUGUGUGGGCUCCAUGGGAUUGGAGGAGGUGUUGGCGGAGACAUGGGCGGAGAUCUAGGGAUUAAGUCAACUGUUUGGAACCUUCAAAAUUACGAUGUUUGUUUUUUGGAUUGGUAUUUAUAGUUCUUUACUAAAUUGAUACAACGUUUGUUUUUGGAAUGCUAAUUAUGAUGAUUUGAUUGAUUGAUACAAUGUUCAUUUUAUGGAAUGCUAAUUACGAUGCUUUAUUUGCUAAUCACAUCAUUUUCAAGCAAAUAUAGGCCAUCAGAUCUAAGAUAAUGAAGGGCUGAUAUUCAAUGUUUCUACCACAACUAGCUUGUUUAAUAGUAGUGGAGACUAGAUGAACAUUUUUUUAAUAACACACUGAACAUUUGUUUAUGUGUACGAGCAAAUUUGUAAAUGGAUUGAGAAUUAGUUAUUUUUUUGUCAGUCCCACUUAAAAUAAAUUUUCAGAAAAGUGGAAUUUACUUUGUAUUUUCACAAGUAAAGUGGGCGCGAACUUCCUAUAGAAGAUUGGAUUAGACUUAAUUUUUUUGAGAGUUGCAUAGGAAAGGGUGGACAAUAUAUUAGAUUCGUUUGUAAGAGAAAACAUUAUGUAGGUGGUGGAACAAUUUUAAGUAACUGCUACCUUUUCCAUGUCCUCUUCGAACAUUUUUUUGCAUGAUACCUUAGGGCGUCAGAAAAAAUUGGUAUGUUCUCUCUCUAAAUAGAUUCAUAUGUACAUGACUCGAUUUUUGCAAGUUGAAUAUAGAUUAUCACUUGGUUAAUCAAUCCAUGGUGUGUUUGCCCAACAACCUAGGAGGGUUGGGCAUUAGAGAUCUAGACAUCAUGAAAACCAUCUUACUUUCUAAGUGUUGGUAGAAAGUGUUCCAUGUAGAUGGUAUGUAGCAACAUUCCUUAGAUGAUAACCCAACACAUCAUACUCUAGAAUAGCUGAAAACUGGAGUGGGCAACCCACACUUUUUAUAAAGGUUGAUGCAGGUAGUCUUCAUUUGGUUUUGUUUGUAGGGUCAAAGUUGGGAAUAGUGGCAAACUAAAUUUUGGAAAGAUCGAUGGUUCUUUGAUGACCAUUUUUACACUAUCUUCCCAUACUGUACACAAUCUUCUUAGAUCCCUAUAUUACUGUUAAAAAAGUUUUUGCAUGUUAUUCUUUAUCCCUUAGGUUUUAGAGGGUGGAAGUAAGAAUUUAAAGAGAGUAAUGGUUUGGCUUAAGGAUCAUGGAAAAAAUGUCUCUAAAUAAAAAUCCCCACGAUUAGUUUGGCUAUUGUCAGAUUCGUGAAACUUUUGUGUUUUGUUGCACAAAGGUGCUAAAUCUGAGAGAGAGUGUCUCUUCUAUGGGAGUAAUGAACCAAUAACAUUAGCCGAUCUUUCAAUCUUGAUUGGAGGAGCACUAAGGCAAGUAUUUUAACUAGGAUAACUCUUCAACUUAUUGAAGUGAUAUUGUGCAAAAGCAAAGCAUAGCUUCAUAUUAUCCUAUUUUAGUGAAUGUCAACAUUGAAAUUAAAUUUUGAUAAAGUGGGAUUGUUGUGUGAGCAACCUAACUAUAGAUUUGUUGAAUUUGAGGGUUUCAAAAGUCACAGACUUCCUACAAAAUACUUAUGUAUACCUUAAGAUGAGAAAGUUAUUAUACUUAUGUAAUGGAUGGCUGCAAGGAAAAGGUAGAAAGUAGAUUAGGUAUUAGCCCCCCAUGCAAAAAAUAUUAGGUGUUAGGAAAGGGAAGACACUAUCCAUUGGUGGCGGAACAGUUGAAUUAAUUCCUCCCUUUAUAAUGUCCCUUUGAAGGUGCUCCCUUUUUACAAGAUACCUCAUGGUGCCAGGAAAAAAAUCAUUACGUACAAGGUUGCAUUUAUGUGGAGAGCUGACAUGUUGAAAAUGAAAUAUUAAAUCGGCCCAUGGUCUAUCUGCCCAAGGACUAAGGAGGGUUGGCAUUUUAGAUUUGGACAUAAUGAAUAUGGCUUUAUUUUCUAAGUAGCUUUAGAAAUGGUUCAACAGAGGUGGUAUGUGACAACAAUUCCUUACUACAAAAUACCUCACACAUUAGACUCUAGGAUAGUGAAAAUGGGAGUGGGAAACACACAAUUUUGUUAGGAGCUAUGGUGUUGGGCCAGAGUUGGGAAUACUGUCAAACUUGAUUCUAGGAAGAUCAAUGGUUCUCUAAGGAUAACUUUUACACUAGCUUCCAUUCUAUUAAUGUUUUAAAAGUUAUUACAUGUGAUUUUAAAUCUCUCAAUUUUUGGAGAGCAGUAGUAGAAGUUAAAAUAGAAUAAUGGUUAUACUUAUGGACCGUCUGUAAAAAAAUGCUUCUCCAAAUUGACAUCCACACAAAUUUGUCUGAUUGCUAAGUUCAGGAAACUUUAGUGUUUUGUUGUAGGAGGUGGUAAAUCUGAGAGGAAAUGCAUCUUGUAAUGAACCAAUAACCACCUGCCAUUUUCCUCCCCCCACCAAUACACAACACACAUAUGGAUAUCAUUAGCUGCUCUUUGAAUCUCGAUUGGAAGAGCACUUAGGCAAGGAUUGCUAACUAGGCUAAUUCUUCCAUUGAUUGACGUGAUAUUGGGAAAGACAAAACUCUCAACUUCCUAUUGUGCCUAUUUUAAUAAUCUCAACAUUGAACAUAAUGUAUAUUAAGGGGAAUUUACUGUGUCAUGUGACCAACUUUAGAUUUAUUGAAUUUGAGAAUAUUCAGAAUGGGCAAACUUCCUAUGAGAAAAUGGUUAUACUUAACUAUUGUAGAGCUGUGAGGAAAAUGUGGUAAGUAGAUUAGGUUCUUGGCAAGGAAAGAAAAUGUCCAUUGGUGGUACAAAAACUUCAAUUAAUUCCUCCCUUCCUAGUGUCACUUUGAAUGUGAUAUCUGUUUACAAGAUAUCUAAGGGUCUCAAGACGAAAGACUGAUAUAUACAACGCUAGAUUUCUAUGGAAUCGUGACAAGUUGAAAAGGAAAUAUCACUUGGUUAAUUAGCCUAUGUUUUGUCUGCCCGAGGACCAAGGAGGGUUGGGCAUUUUACAUCUGGACAUUCCUUUACUUUCUAAGUAGCUGUAGAAACUUUCUAAUUUAGAUGGCAUGUGCCAACAUUUCCAUACUAAGAAAUACCUCACACAUCAUACCCUGGGACAAGUGAAAGUCAAAAUGGAAAAUUCACACUUUUGGCACAAGUGUAUGGAGGCUAAAUCCUGGAUUAGGGUUGUUGGAUGGUCAAAGUUGGGAUUGUGGCAAGACUAGAUUCUGGGAAGAUCAAUAGUUAAUGAUUCUUUGGUCAUAGUUUUUCCACUAUAUUUCCUAGACUACAUAUAAUCUCCCUUGACUUCAUAUCACUAUUGAAAAAAAUAUCUUAUGGUUCUAACUUCUAUAGAUUUCAAUGUGCUGGUAGGUAUUAAAAGAGUACAAUGGUUAGGCUCAAUGACUGUGUAUGAAAAUGUUUCUCUAGAUGGAGAGUCUGGAAUAUUAGUUUGGAUGCUCUUCGAUGUUGUCAGGUUCCGGAAACUUUAGUGUGACAUAUUUCUAUUAUGGCAUGGGAAAACAUUGGGUGAUGCCUUACAAUUUUUUGUGGAGAGUAAAAAAAUCCUCUGUGUAUCAAACUUUCCCAUGGCUGAUGCUUAAAAGAUCAUAUUGAGUAGAGAUGUUUUUUACACGAUGGUACUAAAUCUUAGAUAAUAUGCCAUAUAUGUUGGAGCAGUAAACCAAUAAACCACAUAUUGUGUUCCUAUCUACCGAACAUAUAUGUAUGGGAUAUCAUCAACAGAGGUUCGCAUGCAAUGAUGAAUGCAUUAAUAGACAUGCUAGUGGUUAGAAUAGCAAUUAUGUUUUGGAUUACUCAGAAGGUUAAGUAUAUUACAUGUAAUACAAAAAAUGUCUAAUCAAGCCAAUGAAUUAAUGUUUUGUUGAAUAUUUUCUUUUGGAUUGAUUGGUGGAUCUCUCUGCAGUGAAGGAGGAUCUAGUGGAUCAGCUUAGCUAUUGUGUAAAGCUAAUUGAACGCAUCGCAGUUGGCAUCUUCAAAACUGGGGGGGGGGAGCUGGGCAUCAUGGAUCCCAAGUAUGGUCAUGUAAUUUCCUUGAGCAACAAUGGAGGUGAUGGUGUUAUUGGCAGUGCUUAUUUAGUCGUUGUUAUAUUUUAAUCCGCACCUUCGUCGUGUAUUUGGUUCAUGGUUGAAACCUUGAGUGUUGUUCUGUUGUGUCGUGAUGAAAAACCUGUAGAACAUUCAGGUUUCCAUUGAUGGUAACUGGCGAACAACUUUUAUCUAAAGUAAAACUUAUGUUAGUAAACCACUUAUCUUGUUUGGUUCUCUUAAAAUUCAACCCUGAUUGCAAAUAACAAGUCGAAUAAUAAGAAAUGUAUCUGUAUUUUAGUUAUUCACUUGUUGCUAUUUCUCAUGUGGCGAUUGUUUUGGUGUCAUCAUAAUUUAUGUACAAUCUUACACUUGGUGGACCUGAUGAUGGGAAGCGAGGUCGAGAGCCAUCAUGGACGUAGUAGAGGCUAACACAAUGUUGUCCAUGUCUAUACGCAAUGCUGACAGAGGGGUAAAUAUUGAGGAGAUAUGGCUAGAGUGAUUGGGAUUAUGGGUGAAAAUCUUGGGGUUAAGAUUUAUGGGUGGUGUGGUCGUCAUCAUAGCAAAAGGGCCAUUGUUUCCUAUAAGAGGAGUGACGGCCGAUGGUGGUGGUGGAGCAUUGACAAUAUUAGGAUGGAGGAGAAAUAAUAAGCACAUCAUUAUAAAGUUGGAGAAAGAGAAUGGAACAGGGUCGGCGCUCCUCAGUCCAGAGCGAGAGGGCAAAGGGUGCUCUCGUGUGACGUUAUGGUGGAGUUGUUGCGGCGAAGUCCGAUGGUGACAGCUAGGUGGUGUAGGUUCAUGGGUCACCGAUAAAACUGAGAAUGGUUUUAUCUAAACCGGGUGUGUUGGGUCAGUUUUGCCUCAUAGUUUUGUUUGGUUCGGGUGUAAUGGGCCCGUUCGACAACAGGUUGGUUUAAGUUGGUUUCUUGUACAAAACAGUUGGAUAUGGUCAGUUACGGGCACGAACCGGUCUGAUUCCACCUUAGUUAAGCCUACUUUCUCACCCGGUUGGGAAACUGAUUUGUAGGUAUCUCUCCCUAGAUAGCCCUUAAAGCAACCACAAGAUGAUAGGCCAUGGCUCUCACGACCGCGGCCAACGGCGUGUGAGCACGCGGUGGCUGCUGCAAGGAUCAGCCUGCUCCAGCAACGUCCGCGACCUCCGCACCCAAAUCCGGCAUCCCAUGCGACCGCCGCGCCUGGAUCCGGUCUCCUCUGACUCUUCCCUGUGGUAAGCGCAUGGGGAAGCCAGCUCUCACAACCGUGCUAGUCGUUGUGUAGGCGGCGGCUGACGCCCUGGUCUCCGUGCUUCGGCUACCUCAGCGGCCGACGAGCCCGGACCUGGCUCCCGCGUCGAUUUCUCUAUCCUCUCCCCAGGCCUGCUGCUCUUGGAUGGCCCUCUUGCAUCGUCCCCCGCGACGGAUGGGCCCAUGCUACCGCCGGCCGGCCCUCCCUUCCCCGACUUCUACAACCACUACCUCGGUUGGAUCCGGGCGACUCGCCUCUCGCUGAGCGCCAGCCCCAACGAUGCACUAGGUUUAGUUCGGCUUGGGUGUAAAGAUUGAGUGGUUUGGUUUUGGUUGGGCCGAUGAAAAUAUAGUAUGGUUUAGUUUCGGUUGGCUGAUACAAAUAUUCGUGCGGGUUCAGUUCGGUCAUGGUGCAGUUUAUAAACCAUUCUCGGGUUGGGUCACCAUUGGCUUUUCAUGUGUUUGUCAGUGGUCCGGCCUCUCAUGUGACUCUACUUGGGAGCUCCUAAGUGGCGCCAAGCGCCACUUGGAGGAACAGGUGCUAACGCACUUGUAUUCAUGGGCCGGCCCAUUAGAAGGUCAGCGCUCGAUUACGUGACCAGUUUCCACGCAGUCGCUCGAUUGUGGUUGACCAGUUGACCGGUCAACCUUUGACUUUGAAAAAAGUAUGAAAUUUUUCGCAAAAAAGAAUAAUUUCAUGACUUAAAAAUGUUCAUGGAUUUUGAAAAGAAGUUCACAAACUUUAAAAAAUAGUUCACGGAUUGGAAAAAAAUUCAUUGAUUUUUUUUUCACAAAAGUUGAAAUUUUUAAUAUCAGUUUUGAAAAAAUUUCAUUGAAUUUGAAAAAUGUUCAUCGAAUUUAGAAAGUUCCACCAAUUUUAAAGAAAGGUAGAUCAAGUUUGAAAAGGGAAAUCAUCAAUUUUGAAAGAAUUCAUCGAUUUGAAAAAGUUCAUGCAUUUAAGAAACGAAAAAAAUAGGAAAAUGAAAAAAAAAGGAAAUGUAGAGAAUCCAAGUGAAAACACAGAAAAAAACUAAACAGAAAUGACAAUGGGCCUGCCCGUUACUAGACUUAGUGUACCGUAGGGUGUGCGCGUGUGGUGGCUUAAUGGGACAAGGCGCACAAGGUGAUGCAAACCAAUUUUUUUAUAUUGAACUUUUAUACUUAUUUUGAACUAAAUGAACCAUAUUAAAAUAUUAAUUAAUAUAGUGUUCUAUUGCUUAGCCACAUAACAAUGUUUCCAAACAUUAGUUAUAUUAUUCAUUGUUAUACAGUUGUAAUGUAUAUCAUUGAAUUUUUUUCUGCAAAAUUUAAAUUGUAUGAUGUACCAAAAAUUCCGUUUCUUGUUUAAAAAGGUAUUGAAAUUUAUUUUUUACUAUUGCAUAGAUUAUAUAGUGUAUAUACAUAUAUUUGCAUAUCUAUGCGUUUGUUUCCAUAUCGUUUAAUAUUAUUGAAUGACAUGGUAGAGAUUUCUAAAUCAUAUACACACUGACAAAAUUUCAAUAGUGGUUUCUAAUAUAUAUUAGGCACCAUGUUCGUGGAAAUUUCUAGCGCUUACAAAUGUGAUUUGAAAGUUGGGUUCAGUAAUAGAGUCAUCAAAGAAUAAAAAAUGUUGUUGAUUGUACUUUUGUGUAUGAUUUGAUUAUCUGACAUGAUCGUCUUGAUUUACUUGGUUUGAUUUGGUGCUUAUCCAUUUCUCAAAUGAAAAAAAUUAUGCAUUGGUUUAAACAUUGAAAUCUAGUUAUCAAAAAAUUUCACUAUGAAACUAAGACAUCCACCAUAAAGAGAGACUAGCGUAUCUAAACUCAAGGUUAGUCAGAUUGGUUUGCCUUCACAUGGUAUAAAUUGUUAUUAUAUGGUGUGAACUUGCGCUCCUGCAAAUUGAGGCUUAUUUCUAUAUUUAAUGUUUUAGAUGUAAUGUAUAAUUUUUGAAUCCUGGUAAAUGUCACAUGUGUGGCACGAAUGCAUGGCAAUUCCGAACGUUUUUUUAAUCGCAAGCUUAGUGACGUGAGGAUGACAAUUUUAGUUGUCAAAGUAUGACAACUUUCAUACUUCAAAGGAUGGCAACUUUAUUUUUCGGGUUUGUAAUUUUUUGAAUGGUAGCUUUAAUUGUAAAAAAGCCAGAGCCCGAGUGCUUCACACCACACGUGUGACACUUAUCAUUUGAGUAAUUUUUUAGUGUUUAUAUACUACUUCCUCUGUUCCUAAAUAUAAGUUUGUUUAGAGAUUCCAACAUGGAUUAUAUACGGAGCAAAAUGAGUGAAUCUACACUCUAAAAUAUGUCUAUAUAUAUCCUUAUGUAGUUCGUAUUGAAAUUGCUAACAUAAUUGUGUAUAGAAACGGAGGGAGUAGUAUAAUGUAUAGUAGGCUGUCGCCCUUUUACCCGGCCUAUACGCCAGCCCUAUUUUCACAAGUAAAGUGGGCAAACUUCCUAUGGCUUAGACUUAAUUUUUUUUGAGAGUUGCAUAGGAAAGGGUGGACAAUAUAUUAGGAGUAGGUUCUUUUGCAAGAUAAGACAUUAUGUAGGUGGCAGAACAAUUUUAAGUAAUUGCUCCCUUUUCCAUAUCCUCUUUGAACAUGUUUUUUGGGAAAUUUUUGUUUUUGCCACUAUAAUUUUUGCCAAUUUUGCUUAUGUCACACUAAAAUUUGACAUUUCACUUUUGCCACUCUUGCUUUUGACAAUGUAUCACAAUUGUCAUUAACAUGACGAGCCAACCACUUAUAUCAUAGGAGAAAAACAUUUUGCUAACCAAAUAUGGACAUGGCCGAGCUAACCACUUAUCGGUGCGUGUUAUCAUCCGGUUUUUAAAAAACCUUUUCCUUUCCGAAUUCCGGUCUAGUUUGCGGCUCCGACCCCAACUCGUCGUCGGCCUCGAUCCGAUCUACUUAUAGUAGAUCCCCCUAGUCCUCUCUCGUAACCUAGGAACACCGUGCGAGCACAGCUGUAGCUACGUGAUACGCACGGAGAAGUACCGACCGAACGUGCUGCACAACAGCAACACGAGGGAGACGAUCAUGGACAGCGUGUUCGGCGUGGUGGGCGGCGGCUUCGCGGUGGUGGCCGCCGGCACCUCCGCCGCGGGAAGAAGCGUCGUGUUCAUCAACCCCGACAACGACAGGGUCACGAGCCUCGGCUCCAAACUGCUUCUCGGCGUGUCCGGCGUCCCCGGAGACUGGUACGUAAUCCACCACGAUCGAGAUUAAUCAAUUCUCACGCUCCUUCGCCUGAGUCUUCGAUCAGUCUUUGUGAUCCUCGCCUGAGUCCUCCAUGCUUUUGUGUUUCGUAGCCUGCGGUUAAGGGAUGAGGUGAGGGCCAGCACGAGCAAGAUCCACAGCGCCGCCGCGGCUGCUGACGUCGCCCGGGGGGCGGUGAUCGGCUGCGCUCAGUCCGCGAACGCGGUGAUCGCCGGCUACGACAAGGCCGAGGGCCCGACGAUGUACGCCGUAGGCGGCACUGCGCCGCCGGAGCGGGUGGAGCAGUACCGCACCGCUGGGUGCGGGGCGGGCCUCUGCACGGCGGUGAUGGAGAACCACUACCGCCCCGGCAUGACGGUGAAGGAGGCUGUGGCGCUCGUAGACAGGUGCAUCAAGGAGGUCCGGCGGCUCGGGCUGGCUAGCUUCGUGAUCAUGGUCGUGGACAAGGAUGGGGCCAGGGAGUACACCAGGCGUAUACUAAGGCCGAAGGCGGUGAUAGAAAUAAAAUCCAGUCAGGGAACGCCUAUUGUAAGCACGAAUAAUUAAAGUAGUGGUAGUAUAUUUUGCGUAAAAUUUAUAUACAAACUUGUUUGUAAUUUGGAAAUUUAAGUGGGGUUCAUAUACAUGUUCUUUCUCACUCUUACCGGCUAUCUCCGCCACGUUUAUCAAACCCGCUCUGGAGGCAUUGUUUUGGCUUGACCGCCCCCUUGGGCACCAAAGGAAUCACUAGCUCCGGUUCGUCGGACCCGCCGGUGCCCGUGCGGUCUAUAGCGGUGGAAAUUGUCUGUUGGCCGAUACCUCUUGGCCGACAUCAUCCUCAAGUCUGGUUGUCCACCUGCCAAUCUCCUAGGCGCAACGGUGGAGGGCCAGCGAGUCUAGUCUAUAGUUUUGGUCGCGUGUUCGAGGUGUUUGGCAUCGAUUGAGGCGCGACCUUGGGCUCUAUGUCCUGCCUCAUUGCCAUUCGUAUGUUUGUCUGGCCCAGCCGUGGAGGAGUCACGGUUGAAGCAAACCACAGGUCAAUUUUUUUGGCAACAUUUGGAGUUGAGACUUUCUUAUCCCUCUUGUUACGACGGAUCGAGCAUAUGAUUCUUUUCUUGAUUGAAAUCAUUCACUUUUCCUUGAAAUCAUCACAAAGUAAUUGGAAGAAGAAGUGCUUGAGAAGCUAAUGGAUAUAUAUUCUAUGGUGGCUUCUCCAAUAGUUCGAGCCAUAGCUUCAUUUCAUUGUUUCUAUAAUUUUCUUCACUUUAUCAUUGCCCUCAAGUACAAGUAAUUUCUGACAAACUUUCUUUCCCAUGGUUCGGGUGGGCACGGAUAUGGAUGGCAGGACAUGAGUGAAGAUCCCUCAGCUAAGGGCUAGACCGGACGUUUCACUGUCUGAUGACGAGUGCACACAAAUCAACCCUAGAAGGAUUCUGCUAUGUCAAAAGUGUUUAUAUAAUCGAAUUGUUUAACGCCAAGAUGCCAAUAGCAAUGAUGGAUAAAGCAACUCCCACGAGUAGGGCUCGAAAGCCGGGGACUCUCCUGGCAAAGAAUCUGAACGAUCUGAGUUCUUUUUUGAGAAAGAAGAAGAUGCAAGGCAUGGAUCCAAGCCUGAAGGCGACGUGGAGUGUUAUUAUUAUCGUUACUCCAGAGAAUGGGAGGCACUCUCUUCUUGCAAAAUGCAGUUAUGAAAUCUGUAAUCUAGAUGAUUCUGGUUGAAGGGGACGAUGCAGCCUAGCGGUUACGAACUUUUUGUUCGAUUCAAAGGAUUUCCACUUAAGUAAAGCUAUGGUGGGAGGAAUUUUUUUCGAGUAAUUUUCUUUUGGCAAUAUGAAAAAGGAUGGGGAAAAUCUAUUAAAAAUCAAUUUUUCAACACUUCAAAUCAUCAAACACGUAGCAAGUUACACUCCCACAACACAUACAUCAAAAAGGCAAUUAAAUUACCCAAAGUAGCAGGAAGGCUGAAGCGGGAAGUAGGUGCGGCGACGCAAAGUAAGGGCAGAGGAGACGGGGAAGAUGCUCGGAGGCAGAAGCACGACAACCUCGGCCCGGGGAGGACAUGAUGGUGGCGACAACAGAUAGCAGAAAGCAGCAUCUCGACUGUCAGGCGCAGCCGCACCAGCGGAGGCUGGGUUUGUUGUUUCAUCGACAGUCCUGCUCGUCGGGACUCGGGAUAACUAAGACGGCGCCGCGGGCAGCUAGUAGUCAGACAGGAAGCAGCAACACGAUAGUCGAGGCACGCUUUGGGGGCAGGGGAAGGUCGGGGACAAGGAGGAUGAACUGCAAGAGCUCGCCAGGUUAGGCCCUGUACAAUGUUGUUAUCUUAGGUGUGCCACGUAGAAUAAGUGCUGAGAUGGUAGAAAGAGAAGUUAGGAAAAAAAGGUUACUUUUUUUUAAUCAAGAGAUGAUAUCUUAGCAUAAUAUGUCUCAUCACAUUUUUAGAAAUAGCUAAUUAUCGAAGAUAUGGCUAAGGGAUAACACAUUGUACACAUGUUUUUAGUGCCAUAUCUAAAUUACAUGAAAGACUUAAGAUAAAGACGGUCAUAUGAACCAGUGUACAUGCAUUUAGACCGUGGUCGCGUCUGGGUAAGGGGAUGUAUGCGUGUUUACGUGCUUGGGUUAGGUCGGCCAUUCCCUAUUCGGCGCUUAUGGCGCCAAUUACAACAUGUUUUUCUGUAAACUGACGCCCACCGCAAUCGGUCGCUCGCAGAACGGGCUGGCCCAUAUUAGCCACCGAGCGGCACUUCGUCUCGUUUUUUCGAAGCUCAAUCGAUUUCCGGACCUUACCAACCCGAUUUUUCUUUUUCACUUUGAUUUUUCUGGACCGGGUCAUCACUACUUGUUGUCUUUUUUCCUUUUUGUUAUUCACUACGGUUUUAGUUAUAUUAUUCUUUUUCGCAUUUGUUUCCUUAACCACGUGAACUUAUUUUAAAUUUAAAUUUUCACAAAUCUUUGAACUUUUUAAAAAUUAAAAAACCCUUCUCCAAAUUCGUGAACUUUUUCAAUUUUUUUUGUGAACGUUUUCAAUUCCGUAAGUUUUUAAAGAAAUUGUGAAUAUUGUAAAAGCAAUUCUGAGCAUUUUUUAAUUUAUGACCUUUUUCUUCAAAUUUUGUGAAUUAUUUUCAAUUUCUGCAAACUUUUUCCCAAUUUUUAAUUUCUUCUUUCAAAUUUGGUGAACUUAUUUCUAAUUUGAAAAACAAAAUCAUUUUUUCAAGAUUUCGAACUUUGUUCAAAUUUAUGAAUUAUUUAUUUUUCAUAUUCAACGUGUACUCGUCGUCAGUCAUCAGGUCAAAUGAAACAAAAACCCAGAAGAAAUACCCAGGCGACGACAUAGUAGAUGGGCCAGCACUAGAGCGGAGGCGCCCCUAUGUUUCGCUUAGGGCGAGACGAAGAGAACCCUCGCGUCAAGGGCAGCGUGAGAUGGGCCUGCCCAGGUGCGCUGUAGACCACCACAUUGUGUUUAUUUUGCUUUUUGGUUUUUUACUUUUGUUUAUACUUCCAAAUAUUAUUAGUAAAAUAUAUUACAAAAACAAUUGGAUGAAACAUUUUUUAAAAAAAGUUAAUCAAACAUUUUAAAAAUGUUAAAUGUGUAUAAAAAAUGUUUUUGUUAUAUACGAAAAUACAUAAUGUGUGUGAAAAGUUUAUCAUGUACUUAAAAUAAUUUAGUCAAGCAUUUUAAAAAGUUAAACAAUUAUUUCAAAUUUUUUAAUAAAACAUUUUAAAAAUGUUAGAUGUCUAUAGAAAAAAUGUUGAACAUUUAUUAAAAAAUGCUAAUCUUUCAUUUAAAAAAUGUUAAUCAAGCAUUUGGAAAAUUUUAAUAAGUAUAAAAAAAUAUGGACCAUGUAUUAAAAUAUUUAAUAUUGUAUUUAAAAAUGUUAAUUGAGCAUUUAAAAAUAUUAAAAUUUUGUAUAGAAAAACUUGACCGUGUAUUUAAAAAUGUUAAACUUGUAUUUUAAUAAUGCUAAACUUGCAUUAGGAAAAUGUAUUAGAUAUAUAUACCAAAAAUGUACAAUGUGUACGGGAAAAAUUAGACAUAAAAAAACAAAAUUUCGAAUUUUUUUAAUCAUUUAUUUGAAAAUGAUAACCAUGUAUAUUAAAAGAAGUUUCAAAUGUAUAUGAAAAAUCUUGAAUGUGUAGUGAAAAAAAAUUAACACGUGUUGAACCAAAAAGAAUCAUAUGAAUGAUAGAAAACAAGUAAAAUGAAGAAGUCCCAAUAAAAACCGAAAAGAAAAAAAAUGAAAAACCCGAAGAAACUAAUUUAAAAGAAUGGAAACAAAGAAAACCGAGAAAUAAACAAAUAAAAAUAGAGGAAAAAAAAUGAAAAACCGAUGACAACCGCUGAAAGAAAACUGAUGAAAAAGCAAAGAAAAUAGAAAAGCAAUAAGAAAUCGCGAAGAAACAAAGGAAAAAGAAAGGAAGACUAAAAAUAGAACAUAAAAGAAAAGAACCCGUAUUAUCCCGAGCGAGAACCAGCGAGCUCGGCGAAAAACAAAACAAACUCAGCGAAGGAAAAAUCAUGAAAAUGGGUCAGCCCAGUAGCUAUACCGCGGGCGUAAAACCUUUAGCGAGGCCUAAGGUAAUCUCACUAUAAACGAGGUAUAACAUAUGCGUGGUAUAGGCGCUCUCAUUUGGUCGUGCUAGGGAAGAGACUAGCCAGCCCAAACUAGUAUUCGGGCCUUUUUGUGUUGGGCUGAGCCCAUGCCAAAAAUAAAAGUCUAUAUUUACACAACUAAACAGUCUAUUGGUCUUGAAAGUUUGAAUUUAGGCAUUGAAUAGUGUAUCCAACCAUUAAUUGGGCUACAUCUGAUAACCUAGAACGUUGGGAUUCACGGCCAUACUAGGGUUCUGUGUUAUAUGGUUGUUCCAAAACAUUCAUGUUUUUUAUUAGAAAGACAAAGACAUCUUACAUAUGAAAUUAUCAAGAAAAACAACUAGUACAAUGAUAAGACACCUGGUAGCAGAACGAGCAGUUAAAAAUGAAAUUACAAUGGAAAUCACACUAGACUUCUUCCUCCGAUUGAUUGCCACUCACCAGAGAUUGAAAAUCAUACCGAACCAAUAAUAAGAGAAGAGGCACCUGCAAAUGCCCUCACCACACUAGGCAUUUAAAGACCGCGUAACCACUUGCCGCUUGAAACGAGAUCUAGAAGUCGGUGAAUAAACAUUAGUUGGAGCAUCAUGCCACGUAGGACAUGUUUGCAGUCCAUCCUACCUGCCAUGAGAGUUGGAGAAACCGGACCAUGCUGUAGAACAACACUGAAGAAGAUGUUGAAUUCGUUGCAUCAAUAGCUAACCAUGGCUCUCCUUGAUUGACAGACUAACUACCAAGAUCCAAACAAACCCAACAUAUCUGGUGACACAAACUCUUCAUCGAUGUCGGACCAAUCGUCGUUGAGGUAGGGAGAGGUUGGAGAGGCCUUAUUCAAACACAUUAUUGUCGCCAUCACUUCAUCAAUGCCACCAGAGAAAACAAACCUAAGAAAAAGACAAGCGAAAUAGAUGGGUCCCCACCCCUCUUAACGCCGACAAGGUUGUCAGACAGAGGAGAGAAGGGGGACCAAGGUGGCGGCAUGGAGGAGACCCUUGGGGGUUGUGGCUAGGGUUGGCAACGGAAGAUGGGGAUCUAUUUUUCCUUGAAACAUCCAUGAAUUAAUACAGGGUCAAUGCUAUCUCGAUGACUGGAUUGUUCUAGAACACCGAGUCAUCGACCCACCCUAGUACAUGCCUAUUUCAGCUGGUUGGAGCCAAUUGAAUCAUCAGUUCCACAUACUCACAUAUCUUGGAGCCAGGAGAAUCAUUUCACCAAAGCAGACAUUGGCAGCCAUACUUGCCUUGUGGCUGAACAAAGAAAUGAACUACUUCCCUACUAUUAAGUCUGACAAAAGGAAAAAAUAGAAUGCAAAUCGGAAAAGUAAACAAAUCAAUACAAUGCAUUACCCACAUACAUGGUAUCACCUACUAAGCAUUUUCCUCUUGGAAAGCUAUAGUAAAUGUUACAUGAAACAUAGCAAUAGGUGCCGCGAAUUUGUUUAAACUGCAUAUUCCUUGCAUGUGAUAUUUACUGACAUAUGAACAUGAGAAUCUUCCUUAUGAUAAUUCCAAGUAUUUCGUUUCUGUUUCUGUUUCAUGCCCAAUGUUCAUUUUGUUGGGGAACGUAGUAAUUUCAAAAAAUUUCCUACGCACACGCAAGAUCAUGGUGAUGCAUAGCAACGAGAGGGGAGAGUGUUGUCCACGUACCCUCGUAGACCGAAAGCGGAAGCGUUAGCACAACGCGGUUGAUGUAGUCGUAUGUCUUCACGAUCCGACCGAUCAAGUACCGAACGCACGGCACCUCCGAGUUCAGCACACGUUCAGCUCGAUGACGUCCCUCGAACUUCGAUCCAGCCGAGUGUUGAGGGAGAGUUUCGUCAGCACGACGGCGUGGUGACGAUGAUGAUGUUCUACCGACGCAGGGCUUUGCCUAAGCACCGCUAUAGUAUUAUCGAGGUGGACUAUCGUGGAGGGGGGCACCGCACACGGCUAAAAGAUCAAAUCAAUUGUUGUGUCUCUAGGGUGCCCCCCUGCCCCCGUAUAUAAAGGAGCAAGGGGGAAGGUGCGGCCGGCCAGGAGGAAGCGCGCCAGGAGGAGUCCUACUCCCACCGGGAGUAGGACUCCCUCCCUUUUCCUUGUUGGNNNNNNNNNNNNNNNNNNNNNNNNNNNNNNNNNNNNNNNNNNNNNNNNNNNNNNNNNNNNNNNNNNNNNNNNNNNNNNNNNNNNNNNNNNNNNNNNNNNNNNNNNNNNNNNNNNNNNNNNNNNNNNNNNNNNNNNNNNNNNNNNNNNNNNNNNNNNNNNNNNNNNNNNNNNNNNNNNNNNNNNNNNNNNNNNNNNNNNNNNNNNNNNNNNNNNNNNNNNNNNNNNNNNNNNNNNNNNNNNNNNNNNNNNNNNNNNNNNNNNNNNNNNNNNNNNNNNNNNNNNNNNNNNNNNCGGUAACCCCCCGGUACUCCGGUAUAUAUCCGAUAACCCCCGGAAUCAUUCCGGUGUCCGAAUAUAGUCAUCCAAUAUAUCAAUCUUCAUGUCUCGACCAUUUCGAGACUCCUCGUUAUGUCCGUGAUCACUUCCGGGACUCCGAACAACCUUCGGUACAUCAAAACUCAUAAACUCAUAAUAUAACUGUCAUCAAAACUUUAAGCGUGCGGACCCUACGGGUUCGAGAACUAUGUAGACAUGACCGAGACACGUCUCCGGUCAAUAGCCAAUAGCGGAACCUAGAUGCUCAUAUUGGCUCCCACAUAUUCUACGAAGAUCUUUAUCGGUCAGACCGCAUAACAACAUACGUUGUUCCCUUUGUCAUCGGUUUGUUACUUGCCCGAGAUUCGAUCGUCGGUAUCUCAAUACCUAGUUCAAUCUCGUUACCGACAAGUCUCUUUACUCGUUCCGUAAUGCAUCAUUCCGCAACUAACUCAUUAGUCACAUUGCUUGCAAGGCUUAUAGUGAUGUGCAUUACCGAGAGGGCCCAGAGAUACCUCUCCGAUAAUCAGAGUGACAAAUCCUAAUCUCGAAAUACGCCAACCCAACAAGUACCUUCGGAGACACCUGUAGAGCACCUUUAUAAUCACCCAGUUACGUUGUGACGUUUGGUAGCACACAAAGUGUUCCUCCGAUAAACGGGAGUUGCAUAAUCUCAUAGUCAUAGGAACAUGUAUAAGUCAUGAAGAAAGCAAUAUCAACAUACUAAACGAUCGAGUGCUAAGCUAACGGAAUGGGUCAAGUCAAUCACAUCAUUCUCCUAAUGAUGUGAUCCCGUUAAUCAAAUGACAACUCAUGUCUAUGGCUAGGAAACAUAACCAUCUUUGAUUAACGAGCUAGUCAAGUAGAGGCAUGCUAGUGACACUCUGUUUGUCUAUGUAUUCACACAAGUAUUACGUUUCCGGUUAAUACAAUUCUAGCAUGAAUAAUAAACAUUUAUCAUGAUAUAAGGAAAUAAAUAAUAACUUUAUUAUUGCCUCUAGGGCAUAUUUCCUUCAGUCUCCCACUUGCACUAGAGUCAAUAAUCUAGAUUUACACAGUAAUGAUUCUAACACCCAUGGAGCCUUGGUGCUGAUCAUGUUUUGCUCGUGGAAGAGGCUUAGUCAACGGGUCUGCAACAUUCAGAUCCGUAUGUAUCUUGCAAAUUUCUAUGUCUCCCACCUGGACUAGAUCCCGGAUGGAAUUGAAGCGUCUCUUGAUGUGCUUGGUUCUCUUGUGAAAUCUGGAUUCCUUUGCCAAGGCAAUUGCACCAGUAUUGUCACAAAAGAUUUUCAUUGGACCCGAUGCACUUGGUAUGACACCUAGAUCGGAUAUGAACUCCUUCAUCCAGACUCCUUCAUUUGCUGCUUCCGAAGCAGCUAUGUACUCCUCUUCACACAUAGAUCCCGCCACGACGCUUUGUUUAGAACUGCACCAACUGACAGCUCCACUGUUCAAUGUAAACACGUAUCCGGUUUGCGAUUUAGAAUCAUCCGGAUCAGUGUCAAAGCUUGCAUCGACGUAACCAUUUACGACUAGCUCUUUGUCACCUCCAUAAACGAGAAACAUAUCCUUAGUCCUUUUUAGGUAUUUCAGGAUGUUCUUGACCGCUGUCCAGUGACCUACUCCUGGAUUACUUUGGUACCUCCCUGCUAGACUUAUAGCAAGGCACACAUCAGGUCUAGUACACAGCAUUGCAUACAUGAUAGAGCCUAUGGCUGAAGCAUAGGGAACAUCUUUCAUCUUCUCUCUAUCUUCUGCAGUGGUCGGGCAUUGAGUCUUACUCAACUUCACACCUUGUAACACACGCAAGAACCCUUUCUUUGCUUGAUCCAUUUUGAACUUCUUCAAAACUUUGUCAAGGUAUGUGCUUUGUGAAAGUCCAAUUAAGCGUCUUGAUCUAUCUCUAUAGAUCUUGAUGCCCAAUAUAUAAGCAGCUUCACCGAGGUCUUUCAUUGAAAAACUCUUAUUCAAGUAUCCCUUUAUGCUAUCCAGAAAUUCUAUAUCAUUUCCAAUCAACAAUAUGUCAUCCACAUAUAAUAUAAGAAAUGCUACAGAGCUCCCACUCACUUCCUUGUAAAUACAGGCUUCUCCAAAAGUCUGUACAAAACCAAAUGCUUUGAUCACACUAUCAAAGCGUUUAUUCCAACUCCAAGAGGCUUGCACCAGUCCAUAAAUGGAUCGCUGGAGCUUGCACACUUUGUUAGCUCCCUUUGGAUCGACAAAACCUUCUGGUUGCAUCAUAUACAACUCUUCUUCCAGAAAUCCAUUCAGGAAUGCAGUUUUGACAUCCAUUUGCCAAAUUUCAUAAUCAUAAAAUGCGGCAAUUGCUAACAUGAUUUGGACAGACUUAAGCAUCGCUACGGGUGAGAAAGUCUCAUCGUAGUCAAUCCCUUGAACUUGUCGAAAACCUUUUGCAACAAGUCGAGCUUUAUAGACAGUAACAUUACCGUCAGCGUCAGUCUUCUUCUUGAAGAUCCAUUUAUUCUCAAUGGCUUGCCGAUCAUCGGGCAAGUCAACCAAAGUCCACACUUUGUUCUCAUACAUGGAUCCCAUCUCAGAUUUCAUGGCUUCAAGCCAUUUUGCGGAAUCUGGGCUCACCAUCGCUUCUUCAUAGUUCGUAGGUUCGUCAUGGUCUAGUAACAUAACCUCCAGAACAGGAUUACCGUACCACUCUGGUGCGGAUCUUACUCUGGUUGACCUACGAGGUUCAGUAACAACUUGACCUGAAGUUCCAUGAUCAUCAUCAUUAACUUCCUCACUAAUUGGUGUAGGCGUCACAGGAACCGGUUUCUGUGAUGAACUACUUUCCAAUAAGGGAGCAGGUACAAUUACCUCAUCAAGUUCUACUUUCCUCCCACUCACUUCUUUCGAGAGAAACUCCUUCUCUAGAAAGGAUCCAUUCUUAGCAACGAAUGUCUUGCCUUCGGAUCUGUGAUAGAAGGUGUACCCAAUAGUCUCCUUUGGGUAUCCUAUGAAGACACAUUUCUCCGAUUUGGGUUCGAGCUUAUCAGGUUGAAGCUUUUUCACAUAUGCAUCUCAGCCCCAAACUUUAAGAAACGACAACUUUGGUUUCUUGCCAAACCACAGUUAAUAAGGUGUCGUCUCAACGAAUUUCGAUGGCGCCCUAUUUAAUGUGAAUGCAGCCGUCUCUAAAGCAUAACCCCAAAAUGAUAGCGGUAAAUCAGUAAGAGACAUCAUAGAUCAUACCAUAUCUAGUAAAGUACGAUUACGACGUUCGGACACACCAUUACGCUGUGGUGUUCCGGGUGGCGUGAGUUGCGAAACUAUUCCGCAUUGUUUCAAAUGUAGACCAAACUCGUAACUCAAAUAUUAUCCUCCACGAUCAGAUCAUAGAAACUUUAUUUUCUUGUUACGAUGAUUUUCAACUUCACUCUGAAAUUCUUUGAACUUUUCAAAUGUUUUAGACUUAUGUUUCAUUAAGUAGAUAUACCCAUAUCUGCUUAAAUCAUCUGUGAAGGUGAGAAAAUAACGAUACCCGCCGCGAGCCUCAACAUUCAUCGGACCACAUACAUCUGUAUGUAUGAUUUCCAACAAAUCUGUUGCUCUCUCCAUAGUACCGGAGAACGACAUUUUAGUCAUCUUGCCCAUGAGGCACGGUUCGCAAGUACCAAGUGAUUCAUAAUCAAGUGGUUCCAAAAGUCCAUCAGUAUGGAGUUUCUUCAUGCGCUUUACACCGAUAUGACCUAAACGGCAGUGCCACAAAUAAGUUGCACUAUCAUUGUCAACUCUGCAUCUUUUGGUUUCAACAUUAUGAAUAUGUGUAUCACUACUAUCGAGAUUCAUCAAAAAUAGACCACUCUUCAAGGGUGCAUGACCAUAAAAGUUAUUACUCAUAUAAAUAGAACAACCAUUAUUCUCUGAUUUAAAUAAAUAACCGUCUCGCAUCAAACAAGAUCCAGAUAUAAUGUUCAUGCUCAACGCUGGCACGAAAUAACAAUUAUUUAGGUCUAAUACUAAUCCCGAAGGUAGAUGUAGAGGUAGUGUGCCGACGGCGAUCACAUCGACAUUGGAACCGUUUCCCACGCGCAUCGUCACCUCGUCCUUGGCCAGUGUUCGCUUAAUCCGUAGUCCCUGUUUUGACUUGCAAAUAUUAGCAACAGAACCAGUAUCAAAUACCCAGGUGCUACUACGAGCUCUGGUAAGGUACACAUCAAUAACAUGUAUAUCACAUAUACCUUUGUUCACCUUGCCAUCCUUCUUAUCUGCCAAAUACUUGGGGCAGUUCCGCUUCCAGUGACCAGUCUGCUUGCAGUAGAAGCACUCAGUCUCAGGCUUAGGUCCAGACUUGGGUUUCUUCUCUUGAGCAACAACUUGCUUGCUGUUCUUCUUGAAGUUCCCCUUCUUCUUUCCUUUGCCCUUUUUCUUGAAACUAGUGGUCUUAUUAACCAUCAACACUUGAUGCUCCUUCUUGACUUCUACCUCUGCAGCCUUUAGCAUUGCGAAGAGCUCGGGAAUCGUCUUAUCCAUCCCUUGCAUGUUAUAGUUCAUCACGAAGCUCUUGUAGCUUGGUGGCAGUGAUUGAAGAAUUCUGUCAAUGACGCUAUCAUCCGGAAGAUUAACUCCUAGUUGAAUCAAGUGAUUAUUAUACCCAGACAUUUUGAGUAUAUGCUCACUGACAGAACUAUUCUCCUCCAUCUUGCAGCUGUAGAACUUAUUGGAGACUUCAUAUCUCUCAAUCCGGGCAUUUGCUUGAAAUCGUAACUUCAACUCCUGGAACAUCUCAUAUUCUCCAUGACGUUCAAAACGUCGUUGAAGUCCCGGUUCUAAGCCGUAAAGCAUGACACACCGAACUAUCGAGUAGUCAUCAGCUUUGCUCUGCCAGACGUUCAUAACAUCUGGUGUUGCUCCUGCAGCAGGUUUGGCACCUAGCGGUGCUUCCAGGACGUAAUUCUUCCGUGCAGCAAUGAGGAUAAUCCUCAAGUUACGGACCCAGUCCGUGUAAUUGCUACCAUCAUCUUUCAACUUUGCUUUCUCAAGGAACGCAUUAAAAUUCAACGGAACAACAGCACGGGCCAUCUAUCUACAAUCAACAUAGACAAGCAAGAUACUAUCAGGUACUAAGUUCAUGAUAAAUUUAAGUUCAAUUAAUCAUAUUACUUAAGAACUCCCACUUAGAUAGACAUCCCUCUAAUCCUCUAAGUGAUCACGUGAUCCAAAUCAACUAAACCAUAACCGAUCAUCACGUGAAAUGGAGUAGCUUUCAAUGGUGAACAUCAUUAUGUUGAUCAUAUCUACUAUAUGAUUCACGCUCGACCUUUCAGUCUCAGUGUUCCGAGGCCAUAUCUGCAUAUGCUAGGCUCGUCAAGUUUAACCUGAGUAUUCUGCGUGCGCAAAACUGGCUUGCACCCAUUGUAGAUGGACGUAGAGCUUAUCACACCCGAUCAUCACGUGGUGUCUGGGCACGACGAACUUGUGACGCCCCAAGACCGACGCUCUAGAUGCCUUCCAUUUAGUUUCAUUGUCAUCGUGUGUUUCAUAUGUUUGUUGCCAUGAUCUUGAUGAGUGCCAUUGCCAUAUUCUGCUUCUUGCAUCACGUUCAUCUUAUAUUACAUUGCAUUGCACCAUCCUUGCUUUGUUCUAUGCUUCAUGAUGCGAUGUGCCUCUUGUCAUUCUAUUGCAUUGCAUCAUGAUCAUCAUGCCUUGUUUUGCAUAUUUAAGUUUUGUUGUGUGUUCUUGUGUGAACCCCUCUUAUUCUUAUCUCCACCUCAUUUUUGUUCCAUGCGCAUACCAGCAACAAUUCAUCAAGUUCACCCAAGUUUCUAUCCCAUCCAAACUUCUCCUUUUCCCUUUCUUUCAAUUAUUUCUCUAGUGGCAUUUUCUGCUCCAGAUUAAUGUUCACUAUAUUUUUUAUAUUCUCUACACCAUGCCAAGACCACCUCCUCCAGUUUUCAAGUCCUUUGGAAGUGUUUUGGUUGGGCUAAGGAUUUAUUCAAGCUUGAAUUAUUUUCAAACUUGUUUGAAUUUGCAGUCUCUUAAAAUUACCAGAGCAUUUUAUUCAAAUGCUGCAUAAUUCCUGGUGUCCAGGGAUAUUUUGUUCUUAGCCUAUUUCUUCUCAAAACUCCCUGGACUUUUCUUUUUCUAAACCUGGAGAUUCAAAGUUUUAGAAAAGAAGAAAAUGGAAGGGGCCUCCCAGCAGCGCACCUUGGGCCUUUUUCCCUCACCUACAGCCCAGCCAAGCCACCGCAGCCCGCCUGGCCCGACUUUGUUCACGGCCACCUGCCCCGUUGCGUCACCGUCUCUGUUCCAGAGACAGAGCGCUCGCGCUCGCGCCGUGAGUUUCACGGACGCCGAGGUCGCGCCGUCUUCUCCCCUCCUUUUUAAGCCAGUAGCCACGCCCUAGGGUUUCCCCUUCUCCCUCUCGUUUCCUCCGCCGCUGCCAGCCAGGAGGGCAGCUCCUCCCCGCUCCAUCUCCCCCCUGCAGCCACCAUGGCCGGUCCAAGAAAGAGCUCAUCACCGGAGUAGGAGCAUCGCCGGCCUCCCCACCGUCGACCCAGAGCACCUCAGCGCCUCCCAGAGUCUGUUCUGACGCCUAUCCGAGCCCUAGGACGCCUUCCCCGACGUCCUCUUCAUCCUCUACUUCGUCUUCUUCACGGACAGCAAGUCCACCGGAGUUUCUCGCCUCCUAUCCAUCGAUAUUCUGCGUCCCCGGCCGCAUCCUCAUGUCACAUGUAUACUAGGUAUACCCAAAUCCAAUCCUGCUCUUUUCCAUCGCGAUUUGAUCGCCGGAGUCAUCGCUAGAACCAUGCCAUCUUCGUGUUCUCGGUGCUCCGACGAGUUCUGAAUUUUGUUGUGUAGUUGCAGUAGUCGUCGUGGUUCCUCGCGCUUCGCCCCCGCUCUGAAUCCUCUCUAGCACACGCCGCCUUGUCGUGCCACUCCCUGCUCGCCACCGCUCCCGGCAGCUUCGCCGAUUGCCUCGCGUCGUCGUCGCCCGAGCCGAGCCAUGCUCGUGCUCAAGCAGGUCCUGCUGCUGCUUGCCCUGCUUCUCCUCGCCGCGCGUCCUCUGCACACACGCCGCCCAUUUGCUGCACCUUCGUGGGCACACCUCCAUGCACAUGCUUCUACACAUGCGCAUGGCCGCGCUCGACUGCAAGCCCGUGGCCUGCUGCGUCUUGCCUCGCCGCCAUGCCCGGGACGAGCUCAAGCUCGUGCUCGAGCCAAUCUCCUGCAGCUGCUCCGCCUGCACGCGACCAUCCCGCAGCUGCUCACACAUCCAGACCCGCAUGCCCGCCGCUGGUUUUUAGCCGUAGCCGCCGCUGCUUCUAGCCGCGAGCAACCGCUGGAGUUUUGCGUCCUCUGUUCAUCCAUGGAGGUCCAGGAUCGGGGCUUCAACCUAUUUAAGAUGUGCCAUGCUCUUCACUUUCACAAACACACAACCAGCUCGACUGGUUAACCCAUCGUGCCAUUAGCAGGAGGUCCUGGGUUUGAGUCCCAGGCGUCCCAAUUUUUGCAUAGUUUUUCGUUCUGCACACACACUGUCACUCGGGCCAAAUCCUCGUGGGCCGCUGCAGGAUCCUGCAAUUCGGCCCGAUUGUGUUUUUUAUCAGUCUUGCGUUUUGCUAUUUGUCUACUGCAUUGCAUAUUUACAGAAUUGCCAUUGUCUUAAAUUGUUUAUAGCUAAAUAUCCAAGCAUCCAAAAGAAACAUGCCAUAUAUGCAUCUUGCUCAGAUUUUCAUGUUCUUUAAACAGUAUGCAACUUUCCACCAUGUUUAAAAUGUUGUUUGCAAUUAAUUUGCUCUAAUGACAUGUUAAAAUGGUUUAAUUCAUAACUAAAUAACCGUAGCUCGGUUUUAAAUAAUCUUUAUAUGUAAAUGGGGUCGAAAAAUGCCUAGUUUAACAUGGUGCACUCUUCUUGCAUGUUUAACAACUCUAAAAUAUGGUUUAGGGCAGAACAGUACCAAAUCCAUAAAUUGCAUAUGAGGAUUUUUCCGGACUUGUUGCUUGUUGUUCCGACCUCAUUUAAACUUGCCUAGAUAGGUAGUUUUAUUAUGCUUCACCUCUUGCCAUGUUUAACAACAUUUAAUAUUGAUGGUACCUAAACGAGAGAGAACUAAAUAAGUCAUGUGGUGUUUCGUCAAUAUGCAACUCGUUGCAUAUUGAGCUACACUUAAUUUGUAGUGUUGUUUGUUGCACUUUGCCAUGCCAUGCCUCAUUAAACCGGACAUGCAUCAUACUUGGUUGUGCAUCAUGCCAUGUUUAUGUGAUGGUUGUUUACCAUGUUGUUUGCUUCUUUCCGGUGUUGCUUCUUCGGGUUAGUUCCGAUAACGUCGUGUUUGUGAGGAUUCGUUCGACUACGUCCGCUUGUCUUCUUCAUGGACUCGUUCUUCUUCCUUGCGGGAUCUCAGGCAAGAUGACCAUACCCUCGAAAUCACUUCUAUCUUUGCUUGCUAGUUGUUCGCUCUAUUUCUAUGCCGCGCUACCUACCACUUGCUAUAUCAUGCCUCCCAUAUUGCCAUGUCAAGCCUCUAACCAUCCUUUCCUAGCAAACCGUUGCUUGGCUAAGUUACCGCUUUUGCUCAGCCCCUCUUAUAGCGUUGCUAGUUGCAGGUGAAGAUGAAGAUUGCUCCAUGUUGGAUUAUGUUUAUGUUGGGAUAUCACAAUAUCUCUUAUUUUAUUAAUGCAUCUAUAUACUUGGUAAAGGGUGGAAGGCUCGGCCUUAUGCCUGGUGUUUUGUUCCACUCUAGCUGCCCUAGUUUCCGUCAUAUCGGUAUUAUGUUCCCGGAUUUUGCGUCCCUAACGCGGUUGGGUGUUAUGGGAACCCCUUGACAGUUCGCCUUGAAUAAAACUCCUCCAGCAAGGCCCAACAUUGGUUUUACCAUUUGCCUACCUACCACCUAUACCUUUCCCUUGGGAGUAAUUAACCUGAGGGUCAUCUUUAUUUUAGCCCCCCGGGCCAAUGCUUCUCCAAGUGUUGGUCCGAACUAGAGCCACUUGCAGCGCCACCUCGGGGAAACUUGAGGGCUGGUUUUAGUUGUACGUAGUGCACAUCCGGUCGUGGCCUGAGACGAGAUACGCGCGACUACUAUCAGGGUGUCGGCACGCCGGGAGGUCUUGCUGGUCUUGUUUUACCAUUGUCGAAAUGUCUUGUAACCGGGAUUCCGAGACUGAUCGGGUCGUUCCGGGAGAAGGAAUAUCCUUCGUUGAUCGCGAGAGCUUAUCAUGGGCUAAGUUGGGACACCCCUGCAGGGUUUGAACUUUCGAGAGCCGUGCCCGCGGUUAUCUGGCAGAUGGGAAUUUGUUAAUGUCCGGUUGUAGAGAACUUGACACUUGACUUAAUUAAAAUACACCAACCGCGUGUGUAGCCGUGAUGGUCUCUUCUCGGCGGAGUCCGGGAAGUGAACACGGUCUUGUGUUAUGUAUGCCUCCUUAUUACGCGCAAAAUAAUGAUUCCUCCACCUGACAGCAGGGACCCACCGGACGGGUCACCGUAUUUCGCGAAAAAAACGUUUCCCCCUGACUGCUGGGACCCACCAGCUACAUCUUCGCACGCAAGGAAGUGCGUCCAUAUUACGGGCAAAAAAUGAUUUGCCCCCCUGACUGCUGGGACCCACCAGCUACAUGUUCGCACGCAAGGAAGUGCCUGACAGUCGGGACCCACCUGGUCGAAGCGUACGUAUCGUUGUCAUUCUAGUGGCGAACGUGUACGUACACACUGGUCGAUCGGUCUGUCUGCAGGCUGCAGCGAUGAACCGUGGCUGUGUAAGGAAGGGCACGUGUCAUAGUAUAGGUGCGCACGUAGCAUGUACACAUACGUACAGCGGCCAGGGUGCAAUAAAGUAAAUACGGCCACGUACGUACAUACGGGCGGGGUCUCGAAUGCCUACUCACGCAUACGUACGACCAGGGCUCGUGUACAUGGCUGGGUCGGAAUGGAGAAGCUGCACCGUCGUAGUGAUCAUGGGGAGGCAACCGGCUGGGUCGGAACGGAAUGCGUCGUCGUGUUCAUCGGAAGCCAACCGGCUUGGACGGAACAACCGAUGGAAACGAGGCGUGGCAUACCACAGAACAGAGGAAACGGCCUUGGUUCGACCGGCCAUGGUCGAAACGGGAUCCUGUUCAUCGGGAGGGGUCUAGCGUACCGCAAAACGGAGGAAAUGGACCUCCUACGGUCGAAACGAGGUCCUGUUGAUCGGGAGGGGUGUGGCAUACCGCAAAACGGAGAAAACAGACUUGUGUUGGAGUGCUACGGUCGAAACGGGGGUCCUGUUCAUCGGGAGGGGUGUGGCGUACCGCAAAACGGGACUCCACGGGAUACUAGUCAUCUCCACCGUCGACCUCCUCCAGCCUCCGCGGGCUACUGUUCAUCCACCGUCGACCUCCUCCAGCAUCCACCUGCAACUGUUCAUCCACAGGCUCCUGUUCAUCCAGUUUCCACCGCGUGCUCCUCCAUCGGCUACUGUUCAACCAACCCUCUCCACGGGGUCCUGUUCAACCACCCCUCCACGGGCUACUAUUCAUCCAGCCCUCCACCGGCCACUGUUCAACCAGCCCUCCACGGGGUCCUGUUCAUCCAGCCCUCCAUGGGGUCCUGUUCAUCCAUCAGCUCGAUCGAUCGGGGUCCUGUUCAUCCAGCGGCAACGACCUCUACUACCACGGGGUCCUGUUCAUCCAACCCCCACCGGGAACUAUUCAUCCAAACCCCCUCAACAACGCACACUGUUCAUCAAGGGAAGGAGGCAACAAUGUUCGAUCGGCUUUAGUUAGCAGCAGUAGCGAAGGAAUCACUCGGGUUCAGUUAACAGCAAGGGAUCGAUCGAUCGCUCGGGUUCAGUAACGCGUAGCCUGCAGUGCAAUCGCUCGGGUUCAGUUAGAGCUCAACGCGUCGCUUGGGUUCAGUUAGAGCCCAAUGCCUCGCACACACGCGCGUACGUACGAGAGAAACGCGCAUCGCUCGGCCCCCGACCACCCACCGUAACCGGGAACUCCCCGAUAUUUUCCGCGCCCUCGCUUCUACCACGGUUUUUCCGUCAUGGAUGGCCCAAAGAAUGUCAUGCGGCUGCGUCUCCGGCCCGCCCAGGAUGAAAAGCCCAUUUUCUGUCAUGAUUUUUUGUCAUAGAAGUAGGACCCCACCACAUCUAUGAUGAUACCGGGUUUUGUCACAAUUAUCGUCAUAGGAGUGUCAUAAGUAUGACAGAAAAAAAUUCGUUUGGCCCAAAAUGUCACAGAUGUGUCUUUUUUUGUAGUGUUAGCAUGUUGAUCGUUCAGUUUUAUUGCUAUUGCUUUCUUCAUGACUUAUACAUGUUCCUCUGACUAUGAGAUUAUGCAACUCCCGGAUACCGGAGGAACACCUUGUGUGCUAUCAAACGUCACAACGAAACUGGGUGAUUACAAAGAUGCUCUAUAGGUGUCUCCGAAGGUGUUUGUUGGGUUGGAAUAGAUCAAGAUUAGGAUUUGUCACUCCGUGUAUCGGAGAGGUAUCUCUGGGCCCUCUCGGUAAUGCACAUCUCUAUAAGCCUUGCAAGCAAUGUGACUAAUGAGUUAGUUACGGGAUGAUGCAUUACGGGACGAGUAAAGAGACUUGCCGGCAACGAGAUUGAACUAGGUAUGAGGAUACCGACGAUCGAAUCUCGGGCAAGUAACAUACCGAUGACAAAGGGAACAACGUAUGUUGUUAUGCGGUUUGACCGAUAAAGAUCUUCAUAGAAUAUGUAGGAGCCAAUAUGAGUAUCCAGGUUCCGCUAUUGGUUAUUGACCGGAGAUGUGUCUUGGUCAUGUCUACAUAGUUCUCGAACCCGUAGGGUCGGCACGCUUAAUGUUUGAUGACGAUUUGUAUUAUGAGUUAUGUGAUUUGAUGACCGAAGUUUGUUCGGAGUCCCGGAUGAGAUAACGGACAUGACGAGGAGUCUCAAUGGUCGAGACGUAAAGAUCGAUAUAUUGGAAGGCUAUAUUCGGACAUCGGAAAGGUUCUGAGUGGUUCGGGUAUUUUUCGGAGUACCGGAGAGUUACGGGAAUUCGCCGGGGGAAGUAUUGGGCCUUAAUGGGCCAUACGGGAAAGGAGAGAAGGGCCUCAAGGGGUGGCCGCGUGCCCCCCCAUGGGCUGGUCCGAAUUGGACUAGGAGGGGGCGGUGCCCCCUCUCCUUCCUUCUCCCCUCUUUCUCCUUCCCUUCGUUCUCCAAGUUGGAAUAGGAAAGAAGGGGCUGAAUCCUACAUGGACCGGGAGUCCAAGUAGGACUCCCCCCUUGGUGCGCCCCCUCUAGGGCCAGCCUCCUCUUCCUCCCUCCUUUAUAUACGUGGGCAGGGGGCACCCCAAAAGCACUCUAAGAUUUGUCUUAGCCGUGUGCGGUGCCCCCCUCCACAGUUACACACCUCGGUCAUAUCGUCGUAGUGCUUAGGCAAAACCCUGCACCGGUAACUUCAUCAUCACCGUCACCACGCCGUCGUGCUGAUGGAACUCUCCCUCGGCCUCAACUGGAUCAAGAGUUCAAGGGACGUCAUCGAGCUGAACGUGUGCAGAUCGCGGAGGUGCUGUGUGUUCGAUACUUGGAUCGGUUGGAUCGCGAAGACGUUCGACUACAUCAACCGCGUUACUAAACGCUUCCGCUUUCGGUCUACGAGGGUACGUGGACACAUUCUCCCCGCUCGUUGCUAUGCUUCUCCUAUAUAGAUCUUGCGUGAUCGUAGGAAUUUUUUUGAAAUACUACGUUCCCCAAAAGUGGUAUCAGAGCUAGGUCUAUGCGUAGAUGUUAUAUGCACGAGUAGAACACAAAGAGUUCUGGGCGAUAAUAGUCAUACUGCUUACCAGCAUGUCAUACUUUGAUUCGGCGGUAUUGUUGGAUGAAGCGGCCCAGACCGACAUUACAUGACCGCGUUCAUGAGACUGGUUCUACCGCCGUGCUUAGCACAUAGGUGGAUAGUGGGUAUCUGUUUCUGCAAAUUUAGUCGAAUCAAGUGUGACUACGCCCGGUCCUUGUUGAAGGUUAAAACAUCACACUUGACGAAAAAUCGUUGUGGUUUUGAUGCGUAGGUAAGAUCGGUUCUUGCUAAGCCCGUAGCAGCCACGUAAAACUUGCAACAACAAAGUAGAGGACGUCUAACUUGUUUUUGCAGGGCAUGUUGUGAUGUGAAAUGGUCAAGACGUGAUGAUAUAAAUUGUUGUAUGAGAUGAUCAUGUUUUGUAAUAGAGUUAUCGGCAACUGGCAGGAGCCAUAUGGUUGUCGCUUUAUUGUAUGCAAUGCAAUCGCCAUGUAAUUGCUUUACUUUAUCACUAAGUGGUAGCGAUAGUCGUGAUAGCACUAGUUGGCGAGAUGACAACGAUGCUUCGAUGGAGAUCAAGGUGUCAAGCCGGUGACGAUGGUGAUCAUGAUGGUGCUUUGGAGAUGGAGAUCAAAGGCACAAGAUGAUGAUGACCAUAUCAUAUCACUUAUAUUGAUUGCAUGUGAUGUUUAUCCUUUAUGCAUCUUAUUUUGCUUAGUUCGGCGGUAGCAUUAUAAGAUGAUCUCUCACUAAAUUUCAAGGUAUAAAUGUUCUCCCUGAGUAUGCACCGUUGCGACAGUUCGUCGUGCCGAGAUACCACGUGAUGAUCGGGUGUGAUAAGCUCUACGUUCACAUACAACGGGUGCAAGCCAGUUUUGCACACGCAGAAUACUCGGGUUAAACUUGACAAGCCUAGCAUAUGCAGAUAUGGCCUCGGAACACUGAGAGCGAAAGGUCGAGCGUGAAUCAUAUAGUAGAUAUGAUCAACAUAGUGAUGUUCACCAUUGAAAACUACUCCAUCUCACGUGAUGAUCGGACAUGGUUUAGUUGAUUUGGAUCACGUGAUCACUUAGAUGAUUAGAGGGAUGUCUAUCUAAGUGGGAGUUCUUAAGUAAUAUGAUUAAUUGAACUUUAAUAUAUCGUGAACUUAGUACCUGAUAGUAUUUUGCAUGUCUAUGUUGUUGUAGAUCAAUGGCCUGUGCUACUGUUCCUUUGAAUUUUAAUGCGUUCCUAGAGAAAGCUAAGUUGAAAGAUGAUGGUAGCAACUACACGGACUGGGUCCAUAACUGGAGGAUUAUCCUCAUUGCUGCACAGAAGAAUUACGUCCUGGAAGCACCGCUAGGUGCAAGACCCGCUGCAGGAGCAACGCCGGACGUUAUGAACGCCUGGCAGAGCAAAGCUGAUGACUACUCGAUAGUUUAGUGUGCCAUGCUUUACGGCUUAGAACCGGGACUUCAACGACGUUUUGAACGUCAUGGAGCAUAUGAGAUGUUCCAGGAGUUGAAGUUAAUAUUUCAAGCAAAUGCUCAGAUUGAGAGAUAUGAAGUCUCCAAUAAGUUCUAUAGCUGUUAAAUGGAGGAGAAUAGUUCUGUCAGUGAACAUAUACUCAAAAUGUCUGGGUAUCAUAAUCACUUGACUCAAUUGGGAGUUAAUCUUCCAGUUGAUAGUGUCAUUGACAGAGUUCUUCAAUCAGUGCCACCAAGCUACAAAAGCUUCAUGAUGAACUAUAAUAUGUAAGGGAUGGAUAAGACAAUUCCUGAGCUCUUCGCAAUGCUAAAGGUUGCGGAGGUAGAAAUCAAAAAAGGAGCAUCAAGUGUUGAUGGUCAAUAAGACCACCAGUUUCAAGAAAAAGGGUAAAGGGAAGAAGGGGAACUUCAAGAAGAACGGCAAGCAAGUUGCUAUUCUAGUGAAGAAGCCCAAGUCUGGACCUAAGCCUGAGACUGAGUGCUUCUACUGCAAAGGGACUGGUCACUGGAAGCGGAACUGCCCCAAGCAUUUGGCGGAUAAGAAGGAUGGCAAAGUGAACAAAGGUAUAUGUGAUAUACAUGUUAUUGAUGUGUACCUUACUAAUGCUCGUAGUAGUACCUGGGUAUUUGAUACUGGUUCUGUUGCUAAUAUUUGCAACUCGAAACAGGGACUAUGGAUUAAGCGAAGAUUGGCUAAGGACGAGGUGACGAUGCGCGUGGGAAAUGGUUCCAAAGUCGAUGUGAUCGCCGUCGGCACGCUACCUCUACAUCUACCUUCGGGAUUAGUUUUAGACCUGAAUAAUUUUUAUCUUGUGCCAACGUUAAGCAUGAACAUUGUACCUGGAUCUUGUUUGAUGCGAGACGGUUAUUCAUUUAAAUCUGAGAAUAAUGGUUGUUCUAUUUAUAUGAGUAAUAUCUUUUAUGGUCAUGCACCCUUGAAGAGUGGUCUAUUUUUGUUGAAUCUCGAUAGUAGUGAUACACAUAUUCAUAAUAUUGAAGCCAAAAGAUGCAGAAUUGGUAAUGAUAAUGCAACUUAUUUGUGGCACUGCCGUUUGGGUCAUAUCGGUGUAAAGCGCAUGAAGAAACUCCAUAUUGAUGGACUUUUGGAAUCACUUGAUUAUGAAUCACUUGGUACUUGCGAACCAUGCCUCAUGGGCAAGAUGACUAAAACUCCGUUCUCCGGAACAAUGGAGCGAGCAACAGAUUUAUUGGAAAUAAUACAUACUGAUGUAUGCGGUGCGAUGAAUAUUGAGGCUCGCGGCGGGUAUCGUUAUUUCCUGACCUUCACAGAUGAUUUUAGUAGAUAUGGGUAUAUCUACUUGAUGAAACAUAAGUCUGAAACAUUUGAAAAGUUCAAAGAAUUUCAGAGUGAAGUGGAAAAUCAUCGUAACAAGAAAAUAAAGUUUCUGCCAUCUGAUCGUGGAGGAGAAUAUUUGAGUUAGGAGUUUGGUCUUCAUUUGAAACAAUGCAGAAUAGUUUCGCAACUCACGCCACCUGGAACACCACAACGUAAUGGUGUGUCCGAACGUCAUAACCGCACUUUAUUAGAUAUGGUGCGAUCCAUGAUGUCUCUUACUGAUUUACUGCUAUCGUUUUGGGCUUAUGCUUUAGAGACGGCUGCAUUCACGUUAAAUAGGGCACCAUCUAAAUCCGUUGAGACGACACCUUAUGAACUGUGGUUUGGCAAGAAACCCAAGUUGUCGUUUCUUAAAGUUUGGGGCUGCGAUGCUUAUGUGAAAAAGCUUCAACCUGAUAAGCUCGAACCCAAAUCGGAGAAAUGUGUCUUCAUAGGAGACCCAAAAGAGAUUGUUGGGUACACCUUCUAUCACAGAUCCGAACGCAAGAUAUUUGUUGCUAAGAAUGGAUCCUUUUUAGAGAAGGAGUUUCUCUCGAAAGAAGUGAGUGGGAGGAAAGUAGAACUUGAUGAGGUAACUGUACCUGCUCCCUUCUUGGAAAGUAGUUCAUCACAGAAAUCAGUUCCUGUGAUUCCUACACCAAUUAGUGAGGAAGCUAAUGAUGAUGAUCAUGUAACUUCAGAUCAAGUUACUAUCACGACCGGUUUUCCAAUAAAAAUAUUUAUUGAGAAACCGAUCCCUUUUACGGACCAGUAGAGAAGAAUCCUUCUCACUGGUAGACAAUUUCUUGAUCACAGAAGAGAAACCAGGGGUACUAAAUAUAAUACAAGGUUGAGCGGAGACUGCUCAACAAUUUUAUUACAUGCACGCCGAUAUUACACAUAACAGCGGAUAUGGUGGCAUAACUACUGACACACAAAUAAACGCGAUGGUGGAUAUGUCACAGUGAAGUGGGUGACAUGACUCCUAAAUCUUACAGCUCAUCGAGCGUCGGAGUGAGGCUCGAGGAUUCUUAUUGCGCGUGGCGGAAGCGCAUAUAACACAAGUGACCAAUAUCCAGGAUCGCACGGGACUGACUGGGACUCCUCUAGGCGUCGGACUCACUAUCAAACUCUUCAUCCAUGAGAUCGCCUUCGUCAACAUCUGGCCAAAUCAACAAGCCAGGUGAGUACUAUGAAAGUACUCGCAAGACAGUUUGGACAUAAGAUAUAACAAAUGCAAACAUGAUGCAUAUGAACAGAUUAAUAACGCGCACUCAGACAAUGAGAUAGCAAUGCAUGGGAAAUAAAAGGAAGUCGGGCGGUAGUCCUCCCGAAAUCCCAACGUAAUGCUGAAGGCCAAUCGAGUGUCUGAAAGACUCCUCGAAAGGAUACAAAUAAAAUAACAAUGCCGCAGUCGGGCGUCAAGGCGACACCACAUAAAGGGCUUAUAAUGGAAUAUAAAUGACAGUGCGUGCCACAGUCGGACAUCUGAGCGACAUCACGUAAAGGGCUUAUAUCAAAAGUAAAUAACGAGCGUGCCACAGUCGGACGUCUGAGCGACAUCACAUAAAGGGCUUAUAUCAAAAGUAAAUGACAAGAGUGCCACAGUCGGACGUCUGAGCGACAUCACAUAAAGGGCUUAUAUCAAAAGUAAAUGACAAGAGUGCCACAGUCGGACGUCUGAGCGACAUCACAUAAAGGGCUUAUAUUUCAUGACUUGAUAUUUCAGUAGCUCAUGAAUUUAAAUCAUUUCAAGGAAAUACUCAGGUACGAAAUAAUAAACCGGUUAGUCCAUCCACAGGAAUAACAUUCAACAGAGUUUACCACUCAAGCUUGUUUACCGGGGAUUUCCACGGAAACUGACACGGGGACUGACAUGAAUGUGGAUGUGUUGGCCACGGUCCUUGACCAUGGACACGAUGACUCGGAAGGAUUUGACUCUGCAGAGUUUGUACUAUUUAACCACAGCCAACGGAUUUCAGUAGUCACAAGGGACUAGUUCCGUUUACGGUGUUUUAGGAGAAACACAUCUAACUAGUACAAACCCAUUCAACAUUCCGAUGCCAGGAAUCACCCUCGGCAACGUUCAAGAAAAACCUUGAGACGGGGAGGCUACAACCUCGCGUAGCAUGGGAUCAAAUUUAUACCGCGCGCUCUAAGGGGUGCCCCCCUCUCGGUCCCAACCGAAAACACCCAUGCCCCCUGACCGGAUGACUGGCUUUAAUCCAGGGCCAUGGAACCCUCAUCCCGACCCCUCUAUUUGGUGUGUACAAGGAAAGAGGUUAGCAACUUACUAAACCGUAUUCUUUGCAGAAACCAUGUGGCAGCACGAAAGGGGAAGAAUGGUAACGUGGCUCAGUCCACGUUAACGUCGGAAUUUAUCGGAUGACGUAAGACUGGCAUGCUACAACAAUACCAUCUUACUACCUUUCAUGUCACCACAUGAUCAGGUCAUCUCUCAUCGAAGAUCACAGUAACUUCGAAGCACACGGUUAGUUGCCUUGCAUGCAACUUAAUACUCACCGAUGCUCAUAUGCCAUGCUCAAACCAAUCAAGCAAACAUGCAAAACACUCAUCAUAUCAAAGGUUCAAACAUGCUUGCCUGGUUCGGAGAAGUCGGAGUCUAGCUCGGCGAAGUUCGCGGCUCCUUCACCUCCUCCGGAACCUACGGUAUAACGAAACCGUAUACUAACGUGAAAACCGUUGCGUGUAUAAAAAUUGUUCCAAAUUUUUUCCAAAUAAAUACUAUAAAAAACUAGACAAAAAUAUAAGACUGAAAGAAAAAGAAUCAAUCAAAAAGCAUCUUCUGUUUAAAAUAUAUAAGGGUUUUAGUCCAAGGACUGAUCUGUGAUGAAACAGAAAAGAUCCAGGGGCUUGUUUGAGAAAACAGAAAACGGUUCGGUAUGAAAUACGCCAGCCCAGAGAGAAAACACGUUUUGCCCGAAGGCGCUUUCAGAAAACGGUUCGAAGGGGAAAAGAAGAGAGGCUGACGGGGGGGUCCCACCCGUCAGGUUCAAAUCUUCUAACGGAGCUCGCCGGCGCCCGAAGGCUGCGGUGGUCGCCGGCGUUGAACCACGGCGAGGCAGAGUGAUCGGAGGGUACCUACGGGUUCAGGGUGUUCUUCCGCGUCGGUGGGUGGUGGACUUGACCGUCGGUGAGCACCACGUCGACGGCGACACUAUCUCCGGCGGACGGUGGUUCGGGCGAUGGUGGAGCUCUCCAGUGGGUGCUGCAAGCUUCAAAUUGAUGCGCGGGUCAGAAGGGUGGAUGCACUAGGAGACUACUUGCAAGAGUUGAGGGGUAGGGGUGCACGCACGGGGGUGAAUCGAGCUGGGUCCCGAAGCGGGUCGAGGCGGCCGGAGUUGGGGAAGAAGACUCCCUCGGGGCUCUUCCAGUGGCUUGGCGUGGUACUGGUGGUGUGUAGAGGUGGUGCGGGUUCGAGUUCGGGCUCGGGGCCUCCUUUUAUAGGCGAUCCGAGGGGGUGGCCGUGAACGGGAUAACGCCGGUGAGAAAUUACGGCGAGGCAGAGGUUGGGCAGGGGUUUUAGGUGGCUAGGCAUCACCGUGGAGGAUCACUGGUGCCAUUCCUCUGCUAAACCUCGGCCGGGCUUGGUGUAAUACGUCGGUCCUCGACGGAAUGGCCGUACGGGCACGGCGGUGGCAGGGAGCGUGCUCCGCGCCUACCAGUUCACGACGACGGACUGCAGCGUGCACGGGUGAGUGGAUGGCCACGCGGUGGCCCCUGGUGGCUUGGGCGGCGCUGGACGGCGCCGUCCAACGCUGCACCUCUCUGGCAGCCGCAAAGGGCGCUGCUGCCGUCGCUCACGGGGUGGCGCACCUCCACCAGCUCGUCGCUGAAGCCCGCAAGCUUCCAGGCGAUCGUGCGGCGCAGGGAUAAGAAGGAGGGGACAGGGAGCAAGGCGCCACCGAGGCUACUGGCGAGAUCGAGGAAAGGUUCUGAAGAAAACGACAGCAGCUUCUGAAACUGUUUACUGAACUUUCUGAAUUUGACAGUAACAGUGUCCUUCAGGUGUUCGACGAAAUGAUUUGGCAUGAAGAAUUUUUUUUCUGGAGCUGGGGCUUGGUGAGGUGACCUCUCAAUGCAUCCAGAGGCUGCCUGAAUUUUCUCAGAUUUUUAGGAGGAGAAAACAAAUGAAUUUCAUCAAAUUUGACAAAUAUGGUCCAAACUUGCAGCAAGCAAAAUUUGAAAUAUUUGAACUGGAGACCAGUGGAUCUUCAUGGAUCUUGGUUGAGGGCUCUAAGGACUAGCCAGGGAAAUUGGUUUGGAGGCAAAACUCAAAGGAGAAAAGGUAGUUCCUUUGUAAAUCUUCAAGAGCCAAAGUAGAAGGUAGAAAAUAUUUUUGAUAAGAAAUAAAUGGAAGAAAAAUCAUGGGGGAGUUCAACUUGCUGGAUUUGAAGUUAUUUUGACACAAAGAUGGGGAAUGGCUUUUGGGAGGGGAUUUCCACUUAGGUCAUGGCAAGAGGAGAUUUUGAAAGGGGAAAAGAUCACUCCAAAUGCCAUAGGGCUAUUUAAAAGGAUUUUCAAAAAUUUUCCCAAAUGAAAAACAUUUGUGAUGAGUCAACAUAAGAUGGAAAAACCUCCAAGGCCAAAGAUCAAGUCUUGGGUAAAUCCAAACAAAAUACUUGACAUAAAAGAAAUUUUUUGAGAGGGAGAGUUCUUUAGAAGAAAAUUUUAAGUAACCUCCCUCAAAUCAAAUAAAAGUUAAAAAAAAGCCAAAUAAAAUUUUUGGGUGUCACAGUUACCGAACCUUGUAGGUCAACCAGAGUAAGAUCCGCACCAGAGUGGUACGGUAAUCCUAUUCUGGAGGUCAUGUUACUUGACCAUGAUGAACCUACGAACUAUGAGGAAGCGAUGAUGAGCCCAGAUUCCGCAAAAUGGUUUAAGGCCAUGAAAUCUGAGAUAGGAUCCAUGUAUGAGAACAAAGUAUGGACUUUGGUGGACUUGCCCGAUGAUCGGCAAGCCAUUGAGAAUAAAUGGAUCUUCAAGAGGAAGACAGACACCGAUGGUAGUGUUACUAUCUACAAAGAUCGACUUGUCGAAAAAGGUUUUUGACAAGUUCAAGGUGUUGACUACGAUGAGAUUUUCUCACUCGUAGCAAUGCUUAAGUCUGUCCGAAUCAUGUUAGCAAUUGACACAUUUUAUGAAAUCUGGCAAAUGGAUAACAAAACUGCAUUCCUUAAUGGAUUUAUUAAAUAAGAGUUGUAUAUGAUGCAACUAGAAAGGCUUUGUCAAUCCUAAAGGUGCUAACAAAAUGUGCAAGCUCCAGCGAUCCAUCUAUGGACUGGUGCAAGCAUCUCGGAGUUGGAACAUACGCUUUGAUAAGUUGGUCAAAGCAUAUAGUUUUAUAUAGACUUGUGGUGAAGCCUGUUGAGGGAGUCCUGGACUAAGGGGUCCUUGGGCGUCCGGCCAGUUAUCUGUUGGGCCGGACUGAUGGUCUAUGAAGACAUGAAGGCCGAAGACUAUACCCGUGUCUGGAUUGGACUCUACUUGGCGUGGAAGGCAAGCUAGGCGACCGAUUAUGAAGAUUUCCUCCUAUGUAACCGACUCCAUGUAACCCUAGAUCUCUCCAGUGUCUAUAUAAACCGGAGGGCAUAGUCCGGAUAGGUCAGAUUCAUUACCAUAUACUCAUAGGCUAGACUUCUAGGGUUUAACCAUUACGAUCUCGUGGUAGAUCAACUCUUGUAACACUCAUAUUCAUCAAGAUCAAUCAAGCAGGAAGUAGGGUGUUACCUCCAUAGAGAGGGCCCGAACCUGGGUAAACAUUGUGUCCCCUGUGUCCUGUUACCAUCGAUCCUAGACGCACAGUUCGGGACCCCCUACCCGAGAUCCGCCGGUUUUGACACCGACAUUGGUGCUUUCAUUGAGAGUUCCACUAUGUCGUCGACGAGAGGUUCGAUGGCUCCUUUAAUCGUCAGUCAUGACGUGGUCCAGGGAGAAACCUUCCUCCCUGGACAGAUCUUCGUAUUCGGCUUCGUACUACGGGCCAACUCGCUCGACCAUCUGGAGCAGAUCGACAGCUACGCCCCUGGCCAUCAGGUCAGAUUCGGAAGUUUGAACUACGUCGCGGACAUCCGUGGGGACUUGAUCUUCGACGAAUUUGAGACCGCGGCAACCGCUCCCCUUCGCCCCGUUGAACAUGGCUUAAACCUGUCCUUGGGCCGCAUCCAGGAGAUAGCUCCUAUAACAACUCUGGCCUUAGAUCCGGAGCAGAUCAAGACGUUCGAAGGUGGGAGACUCAACCCCAUCAUGAGGGCCACCGAGUCCGUGGCAUUGGGGCCACGCGCAGAUCCCUCUUCAUACAAUACCUGCACCAACGGAACCCCGGACUCGUCUCCGAUAUCGAGUUCCGAACCCUGCGAGCCCGUGGAUACCGAACUCGAUCGGUUAUCGAUCUUCAAGUUCAGCGCCGCGGACAUCUUCCAAUACUCGCCCAUGGGCGACCUACUAAACUCACUAAAAAACCUAUCCCUAGCAGACGGCUCACCGCCGAACUAUGUUCGGUUCGACCUUACGGCGGAUGAUGGAGAAUUUUGCUUCCCACCCGCCACCCACUUCAUAGCCACCGUCGAAGACCCAACCAACACGCCUGGCCUCUGCCCCGAAGACAUCGACGGUCUAGACGAUGAUGAGGGGCAGGGCCAGAACUUACUAUCCGCUAGACGCGGGACGACCACUUCCUGGUAGGACGCGUGCAUGGUAGACACACCCAACGACGAUCUCGACGAUGACAAGGAGGAUCCAGUCGAGGAUAAGCCUCCUGGUACACAGUCCGAACACCCGCGCCCCCCGCGCCACUCUCAGUCAUGCCACUCAAGAGAAAACAAUACUAGCACCGGAGGUGAUAAUACACCGGACAACGAAGACCCUGUUGAGGCAGGAUACGAACAGGAGGACCAGGAAAGCGGGGAAGAUAGCCCCGAUGAACAGGUCAUGUACGGAGACUCGAAGGAUAGUAAUUAUCUUCCCCUCUCCGAGGAGGAGGAGAGCCUCGACAACGAAGAAUUCAUCGUGCCGGAGGAACCUCUCGAGCAUGAGCGCUUUAAAUGCCGGCUAAUAGCCACAGCAAGGAAUCUAAGAAUAAAACAGCUGCAGCUUCAAGCAAGCCAAGAUCUGCUCAAUGAUAAAUGGACCGAGGUCCUAGCCACCAUAGAAUACGGCCCUAGUGGCCCGGACAAAAGCCACCCCAAGAACAGGUGGCUCCCUCCACAUGAAGGGAAGGCGUUGGAGCCCAUUCCACCAUUGAACAAUGCGGCAGGUCGACCACAGUUCGGUCCGGAUAAAGCAGCAGCCCAAGCAGAACAGCAUACUAACCAAUACGGCCGUAAGAACAACACGGUUCGGGAAAACAAUCGUGACAUCCGCCAAAGCUUAGUGGGCGGAGCAGGAGAGAUAAGAUCGACGUACAGAUCAAGGGGAUAUGCCCCGACCGGUGAUGAUGGUCAAUCAGCCGGACUUAACCGAGCCAACCACGCUUGAGGCCGCCAACGGCAUCCAACGGAGGUGCUUCACAGUUGUCGGCAUUCUGGGAACGGGGGUCCCCAGACUUGCCUGCCUGCGGCCCAUGGCGAGGCUAAGUCAGCGGGCCAUACGGCCCAUCUUCAUCAACGAGGCAUCCAAGACCCUCGUGAGCCAGACGAUGCAAGACCUCCUCAGGAGGGGCCUGGCCAGGCAGGCUCACGAGGAGCGGAGAUAUCAAGGCGGGGCAAACCUCAUGAGGCUCUCGUGACAUGAGCCAUGACGAUCGAGAGCAGGCGGGCGCCAGCGCGCGCAGCGUCCUUGUUUCCUCUUUGGUGCUAAGGAGGCCAGCGCAGGCGAGGAGUACCGAGGCAUCAGGCAAAGGUUGCCUUAUCGGUGCAACCAGACCAAGAUCAGAAGGACGGCAGGACGGAGGUCACCGUGGAGCCCAAGACGACAUCACCACCAGAGCCUUUGCAGGCGAAGACCACUUUUGUCAGGAUAGCUUGUACUAGCUGUCCCCCUUCAAAUUUGCCCGCCGUUGUUGGCUCCCUUCCCGCUCCAUAUUUGGGAAGAGGACCAGGGCCUAUAUAAGUAGAGCUAGCCACCACCGUAGGAGAUAACUCAUUCAGAGGCAUCUCACCCACACAAGUUCAUCGAGCACAAGAACACCUCAACCUCAGGAGGCUGUUCUGCCCCUUGUACUGUUCAUCAUCAGCCCAAGAGGCAAUCCACCACCACCACACUGGAGUAGGGUAUUACACCACAACAGUGGCCCGAACCAGUAUAAAUCUCGUGCCUUUCUGUGUUGUGAGUUGGUCGAGUUUGUCCGCGAGAUCUUAGCGAGCUAGGGCGUGGAUUGGUAGGAGGGAAAGAGCUUCACGCGCACCCCAGAGUUCGAACCUUAAGGGUUUUGCCGGAACCCCACAUCUGACAACAGUGUGGCCCAACAUAGAGGAGCCGCACACCCUCUUUGCUUCACCAACGAGGUAAUGGAGCACCACGGGUUUAAACCCAUCAACAUCGCAUCAUACGACGGAACAACAGAUCCCGCAGUAUGGAUUGAGGAUUACUCCUCCAUAUCCACCUGGCUCGCAUAGAUGACCUUCAUGCCAUUAAAUACCUGCCUCUCAAGCUUAAGGGUCUAGCGCGGUACUGGCUACACAGUUUGCCAGAAAAUUCUAUUGGCAGCUGGGAAGAUUUGGAAGACGCCUUUCAUGACAACUUCCAAGGAACAUAUGUCCGGCCAUCCGAUGCCAAUGACUUAAGUCACAUUGUCCAACAGCCCGGCGAGUCAGUCAGGGAACUCUGGACUAGGUUCUUAGUCAAAAAGAACCAAAUUGUCGACUGUUCGGACGUGGAAGCCCUUGCGGCCUUCAAAGACACCGUCCGGGAUGAAGGGCUAGCACGUCACCUCGGCCAGGAAGGACCUAAAUCCAUGACAGCCCUUACCGCUCUAAUGACUCGCUUUUGUGCGGGAGAAGACAACUGGCUCGCUCGUAAAAGCAACAAUGCCAGCGACCCGGGCACUUCCGAAAUCCGAGACGGCAACGGCAAGCCACGACUAAACGAACACAACAGUCCUGGCAAUAGUGAAAGAUUACGCGACACAUCGGUCAACGCAGGAUUUCACAAUCCGAAAACCGGUCAACGGAAGAAGCCAUUUAAGGCAAACCAGGAUGGACCAUCCACCCUCGACAGGAUAUUGGACCGACCUUGUCAAAUUCAUGGCCACCCUGAUAAGCCAGCUAAUCACACCAACAGAAACUGUUGGGUCUUUAAGCAAGCAGGCAAACUUAACGCCGAACGCAAUGGGAGGAGGCCACUAGGCGAUAAAGAUGACGGAUCGGCUCGCCAGCUGAACAUCAGGGGCCAGAAACAGUUUCCCUCCGAAGUUCGACCACUCCCAGAACGGAAGUAGCAGUUCGGCUUCCGCUACCCACCCGCUAUACCGGCAAGAUUCACACCACGCAUACAUCACUAUGCGCUCAAGAUACCAUGGGCACCGGCGGAAGCACAAUACGGGCAACCCUGCAAACAUUCCCGUAACGUUUUUUAUAUGUUUUCCAUAUUUUUCUUCAUUAUCUCUUAAAAACAGGUGACAAUUAGGACAGCAUCUAGUCGGACUCUAUUGGAGUUCGGACCCGUACACUCACCUAAGGGGCUACUUUCGUUAAGAACUCCCCUCCGAGAGGACGGGCGGCGCAGACGUGCGACAGGAGGUCCAAAAUAGCUUUUUGUAGACCGCACUCGUUAUUUUGAGCCUGUACUAUGCCCUUUUCCUCCGUUCCCGACCCCGAGCAUGUCAAAUAGCCGGGUUGUGGUUCUUCCUUUUUUAUACAAAUUUAUCAUUGGCAUAUUGCUCCACUCCCAGUAAACUUUAUCCGAGCUAACCUUAAAUACUCUGCAUACAAUGAGUACGGCCGUAACGGCUGUGUUACAGGACGCACCUCGGCAUAACUUGCCAGGGGCUCGGUAUGGGAACAAAUGAGUCACCAGUAAAAGUCCAAACAGCUCUAUAGCCUACUUCGGCGUCGCAAGCUUGGCCUUAUAUGCAUCAGCUCCGAAUCAUUGUCUUUGGUCAAUAGAUGGGUUGCCCGGCUCCUGUGUUUGCUACCCUAUGUUCCGCUCUAUCGGCUAGGGUAGUAAAGGGAGAACUACUGUGAUUGUGCCCUGGCUUUGACCGGAUGAGCGCCUCAGUAGAGAAAGCCAAAAACUGACUGUCAUGAUGCGACGAGAGCUGGUCAACCACUUGAUGACUUAUUCGAAUCUUUAGCGAUUCUCCGUGUUACGCGAAGGAUCUUUUUCAGAUCAAAACAUGUAAGGCACAAUAUUAGGAUACGCCGCAUACAUACCAGGGGCUAUGUCGUAGCCCCACCAUAAAACUCCUAUGGCUAAGUGAAAGUGUUAACGCCCUAUAGUCCGAUUGCCUGGUUCGCCGCAUUAUCACCUCCUUUAUGGACCAAGACGUUGGAUAAAGAGUGAUUCAAUGCUCUUCCAAACACCCCCGUAUUUCCUACGAGGGGGCUGAAGCCGACACUGGAAAACUUUCAAUUUAUAUUAAAACGUCCGCACAGGAGGAAUACAAGCUCUCGAGCAAAACAUAAAAAUAGAUUAACUAAAGUUGUCUGUUACAACCCUUGUACACAUCACUCGAAUAUUAUGUUUUUCGAGCACUGACCCUCUAUCAAGCGGGCGGCCUCAAGAAUGUCUUCAAAAUAACGCUCCGGUUCUGGACGGUCCUUGCGUUUGGGUGGACUCCUCGUCGCAACGUCAAUGGCCUUCAUCUUCCCCCAGAAUGUCUUGAGACGGGCGAAGGCCAUCCGUGCACCUUCAAUGCACACCGACCGCUUCACAACAUCGAUACGCGACACCACAUCAGCAAGCCGCUGCACCAGGCCGAAGUAACUACUAGGAACAGGUUCAGUUGGCCACAACCGGACUAUGACGUCCUUCAUGGCCGCGCCACAUAUCCUAUGCAGCUCGACCCACUAGGACAUCUGCUCAUUCGGCAACAGAGGGCACUUCGACGCGCCAAAUUGUGACCAAAAAAGCUUCUCCGUUGCAUACCCCUCUUGCGCAUGAUAAAACUGCGCCGCAUUGGAAGAACUCUUCGACAAAUCUAAAAAAUUGUCCGGAGAACUCCAUACUUGGUUAAGCUGAGCAUAGUUCGGAUCGCCGAACCUAGCCUGUAGAAAAAAGGGCUUGCCAGCCACAAUCUCCCCAGCUUGCCGGAUCUCCUCACGGGCUGCUCUGGCUUCAGACAGCGUUUCUCUCGCCUCUCAUAAGGCCUUGUCAAGUUCAACCAUUUUGGCUUCAUUUUCCUUCUCAAGAAGUUUAUAGCGGCUAGCUGCAUUUUCUAACUUGCGCGCCAUGGUGGACAUCGUCUCCUUGUCUUGACGCCGCGCGGCUUGUUCGGCCUUCAAUUCAGCCGAUGCCUUUUCGGCGGCCGCAUUACUAAACCGGGCCUGCUCCUUGGCCUGGGCUAGCUCCGCCCGAAGGGAUUCCACGGCGGCAGCACCAUCUGCAUUCAUGCACAUUUCAUAUCAAACUCUUUUCAGAGUCAGGCUUAAAUUACAGGCACAUUGGUAUAAGGAAUACUCGAAAUAUAUACCUUGCGAGUCAUCAAGACGCCUGUUGAUCAAAGCAAUGUCAUCCUCCACAAUAUCUAGCUUUCGCUGCAAUUCGGUCACCUCCGAAUUUCGGGCAGUGGCGGGAGGGGAGACAGCCUGCAUUCCAAAUUAAACCAAGGUUAGCACCUGAAAAUAUCUUUUCGAUCCUCCGAUCGCUUCCUUUGGAAGGCGACCCGAGUCUCAGGGGCUACUGCAUACACAACAGGUGCAUUCUGUCCAUAUUAUUCAAUUGGCAACAUUACAUCACAAACCUCAAAACCCCUCGGAAGGCUCGUAAAGGCCUCGUUCAACCCGCUCUUCGUGGAUAAAACCUUUUCGACCACCGUAACCAUUAAGGCACAGUGCUCCUCUGAAAUGGACGCUCGUCGCAGCAUGUCCGUCAGCGUCUCCGGCACUCCUGGGUCUUCGGACACCGCUGCCGGAGCACGACAUUCCUUUGGAGGAAUUCGCUUAGCCGCCUCCAGCAUUGUCUUCGGCUGUAAACUGGACAGUUCGGGGACGUCAUUCUUGAUCCCCAAACCCUGAGUGACAGAGGCACCACCUUCGGAUACCUCCUUCCUCGUUUCCUGCACUACCUGCUGGUUGGGUGGAGCCCUCUGGGACGACACCUCGAGAUUAUCCGCCCUGUUGGGCGAAGAGGCCGGAGAAGGCGUGUCACUCUCCAUCAUCUCUGGAAGAAGGUCUCCUGAGGAGGAGGACAAUUGAGAAACACCAGGUGUUAACCUGCGAGGAUGCACACAUGUUAGAGGAUUAUUUCAAUAACAAGGAAAAGAAUGAGGUAUGGUUGAAGUGCCCUGCUUCACUUACCGUCUGGCCGGAGGUUCGUCCUCACCAUCAAGCUCUACGAAGGCAUCGCUUGCCUGGCCCAAGCUGCCCGACGAGAGCAUUUUCCCUUUCUUGGAAGGUUUCCCCUCUUGACCUCCAGAAGCAGCCCUCUUCUUGCCAUGAAGUGCUCCCUCCACACCUUUGCCCCUGGGCAAAAGGGUUUCGGUUUCCCCGAACAUAGAGCUUAAAUCGCCCUAGGAUGGGCAUCACCUCUGGGCUCCCUGCUCUCGCCCCCUCUGCAGACACCAGGUACGGUGUCGGAGUCAACAUCCGCGUUAGUAGGGCGGACGCAGGGUCUUCGGGAAGGGGCGCCGGACACCAGAUUAACACCGCUUUCUUUAUCCAGUCCUGUAUAAGGAUGAGUUGCUCAGUGUCUUGUCAAGAGAUGCUUGGAUGAAAGGUGUACGACGAUUGAAUACUUACCGGAGUGUCCGGAUGAUUGCAGUCGAGGCCGACGUCUUCGGUGGUGUCCGGCCAUUGCUCUCGCUCCCCGAAAUAUAACUUCCACAUUCCUUCGUGCAUAGUGCCGAAGAAGUGCUGAAGAGUCCACCGCCCUUCUGGAUUAAACUCCCACAUACGGAGAGGCCGCCGCUGACACGGCAGGAUCCGGCGGACCAGCAUUACUUGAACGACGUUCACAAGUCGGAUGCGGCCUUGCAGAGUCUGCACCUUAUUAACGGAUCCCCAGUCCGAUCCCUUGUUGAUCCAUGAAACAAGCUGAGUUGGAGGGAUGGGUCGGAACGCAGGCGUAGCCACCCACUUGGAGCCCCGCGGCUCAUUGACAUAAAACCACCCCUGCUGCCAUAAUUCAGAAGACUUGGCGAAGGAUCCUUCAAACCAAACCGCGCUGGCGAGCUUGCUUAUUACAACGCUGCCACACUCCGCAUGCUCCUCCAUCACCCGCGGUCUCACAUCGAAAGUCUUGAGCCACAAACCAAAGUGUGGAGGAGUCCGGAGGAAGGCCUCACAUGUGACGAUGAAUGCCGAGAUGAGAGGAAAAGAGUGCGGGGCCAUAUCGUGAAAAUCUAGCCCAUGGUAGAACAUGAGCCCCCGGACGAAGGGGUUAAGUGCGAACCCUAACCCAUGGAGGAGGUGAGACACAAAUGCUACCCUCUCACCGGACUUGGGGGUGGGAAUAAUCUGCCCCUCAGCGGGAAGCCGAUGAAGGAUUUCUGGGGUCAGGUACCUCGCUACGCGGAGCUUCGCAAUAUCCUCCUCCGUGACGGAAGAGGCCACCCACCGGCCUGAACGGCUGGACCCGGACAUGAUUAGGGCUGGUGGUGGUUGGAACUCGAGGGCUGGAACUCGAGGAGGCUGGGGUUGAGGAAGAAGCAAGCACAGAAGAGAAAGACAAGUCUGGGUUCCUAUAUAAAGGCCCAGAAUAUUGAGCGUCCCCUCCCGGGUCAUGAAACUUACCUAUCCUCAAAGAGUUGUACCCAGGGGACGGUUGGGUUACCCAUACCUACAUUAUUGAAAAUCCCGGGAAUAAGGGGACACGAUCUCUGCUUUGACAAGACGUGCCAAUAAAACCGCUUCCCGAGACAUGGGGUGACGGGCUAGCCAACGGUUGGAAAUAAUAACCGGGCAGGCGUGAUACAAUGUCAUAAACAGUUGUCAGCAGAUGGGACUCGUGUAAAAUAUAUAAAUUCUCUCUGCGGUUCUGCGUGGUGUGUAACAGGUCCGGAUACAAUCAUCGCAUCCGAAGACUAUCUUGGAGUUCGGAAAAGGGGGAACCCGCCUUGCAAUGCCGAAGACAAUCUGCGCGCUGGACUCCUCGUCAUUGAAGCCAGGUUCAGGGGCUACUAAGGGAGUCCUGGACUAAGGGGUCCUCGAGCGUCCGGCCAGUUAUCUGUUGGGCCGGACUGAUGGGCUAUGAAGACAUGAAGGCCGAAGACUAUACCCGUGUCCGGAUUGGACUCUACUUAGGGUGGAAGGCAAGCUAGGCGACCGAUUAUGAAGAUUUCCUCCUAUGUAACCGACUCCAUGUAACCCUAGAUCUCUCCGGUGUCUAUAUAAACCGGAGGGCAUAGUCCGGAUAGGUCAGAUUCAUUACCAUAUACUCAUAGGCUAGACUUCUAGGGUUUAGCCAUUACGAUCUCGUGGUAGAUCAACUCUUGUAACACUCAUAUUCAUCAAGAUCAAUCAAGCAGGAAGUAGGGUAUUACCUCCAUAGAGAGGCCCGAACCUGGGUAAACAUUGUGUCCCCCGUCUCCUGUUACCAUCGAUCCUAGACGCACAGUUCGGGACCCCCUACCCGAGAUCCGCUGGUUUUGACACCGACACCUGUAUUUACAAGAAAGUGAGUGGAAGCACUACAGCCUUUCUGAUAAGUAUAUGCGAAUGACAUAUGGUUGAUCGGAAAUGAUGUAGUAUUUUCUGGAAAGCAUAAAGGAGUGUUUGAAAGGAGUUUUUCAAAGAAAGACCUCGGUGAAGCUGCUUACAUAUUGAGCAUCAAGAUCUAUAGAGAUAGAUCAAGACGCUUGAUAAGAUUUUCAAUGAGUAAAUACCUUGACAAGAUUUUGAAGUAGUUCAAAAUGGAACAGCCAAAGAAGGAGUUCUUGCCUGUAUUGCAAGGUGUAAAGUUGAGUAAGACUCAAAACCCAACCACGACAAAAAUUUAGAAAGAGAAUGAAAAGUCAUUCCGUAUGCCUCAGUAAUAGGUUCUAUAAAGUAUGCUAUGCUGUCUACCAGACCUAUUGUAUACCCUGCCCUGAGUUUGGCAAGCGAGUACAAUUUUUAUCUAAGAGUAGAUCACUAGACAGCGGUCAAAAUUAUCCUUAGAGGACUAAGGAAAUAUUUCUCGGUUAUGGAGGUGAUAAAGAGUUCGUCAUAAAGAGUUACAUCGAUGCAAUCUUUGACACCGAUCUGGAUGACUCUAAGUCACAAUCCGGAUACAUAUUGAAAGUGGGAGCAAUUAGCUAGAGUAGCUCCGUGCAGAGCAUUGUAGACAUAGAAAUUUGCAAAAUACAUACGGGUAUGUAUGUGACAGACCUGUAGACUAAAACUUCUCUCACAAACAAAACAUGAUCACACCAUAGUACUCUUUGGGUGUUAAUCCCAUGGCGAUGUGAACUAGAUUACUGACUCUAGUAAACCCUUUGGGUGUUGGUCACAUAGCGAUGUGAACUAUGGGUGUUAAUCACAUGGUGAUGUGAAUUAUUGGUGUUAAAUCACAUGGCGAUGUGAACUAAAUUAUUGACUCUUGUGCAAGCGGGAGACUGAAGGAAAUAUGCCCUAGAGGCAAUAAUAAAGUUAUUAUUUUAUUUCCUUAUAUCAUGAUAACUGUUUAUUAUUCAUGCUAGAAUUGUAUUAACCGGAAACUUGAUACAUGUGUGAAUACAUAGACAAAACAAAGUGUCCCUAGUAUGCCUUUACUUGACUAGCUCGUUAAUCAAAGAUGGUUAAGUUUCCUGACCAUAGACAUGUGUUGUCAUUUGAUGAACGAGAUCACAUCAUUAGGAGAAUGAUGUGAUGGACAAGACCCAUCCGUUAGCUUAGCAUGUUGAUCAUUCAGUUUUAUUGCUAUUGCUUUCUUCAUGACUUAUACAUGUUCCUCUAACUAUGAGAUUAUGCGACUCCCGAAUACUGGAGGAACACCUUGUGUGCUAUAAAACGUCACAACGUAACUGGGUGAUUAUAAAGAUGCUCUACAGGUGUCUCCGAAGGUGUUUGUUGGGUUGCCAUAGAUCAAAUUUAGGAUUUUUCACUUCGUGUAUCGGAGAGGUAUCUCUGGGCCCUCUCGGUAAUGCACAUCACUAUAAGCCUUGCAAGCAAUGUGACUAAUGAGUUAGUUAUGGGAUGAUGCAUUAUGGAACGAGUAAAGAGACUUGCCGGUAACGAGAUUGAACUAGGUAUGAGGAUACCGACGAUCGAAUCUCGGGCAAGUAACAUACCGAUGACAAAGAAACAACGUAUGUUGUUAUGCGGUUUGACCGAUAAAGAUCUUCAUAGAAUAUGUAGGAGCCAAUAUGAGCAUCCAGGUUCCGCUAUUGGUUAUUGACCAGAGAUGUGUCUCGGUCAUGUCUACAUAGUUCUCGAACCCGUAGGGUCCGCACGCUUAACGUUCGAUGACGAUUUGUAUUAUGAGUUAUGUGAUUUGAUGACCGAAGUUUGUUCGGAGUCCCGGAUGAGAUCACGGACAUGACGAGGGGUCUCGAAAUGGUCGAGACGUAAAGAUCGAUAUGUUGGAAGGCUAUAUUCGGACAUCGGAAAGGUUCUGAGUGGUUCAGGUAUUUUUCGGAGUACCGGAGAGUUACGGGAAUUCGUCGGGGGAAGUAUUGGGCUUUAAUGGGCCAUACGGGAAAGGAGAGAAGGGCCUCAAGGGGUGGCCGUGCACCCCCCAUGGGCUGGUCUGAAUUGGACUAGGAGGGGGUGGCGCCCCCCUCCUUCCUUCUCCCCUCUUCCUCCUUCCCUUCCUUCUCCUAGUUGGAAUAGGAAAGGGGGGGGGGGCGAAUCCUACUUAGACCGAGAUUCCAAGUAGGACUCCCCCCCUUGGCGCGCACCCUCUAGGGCUGGCCUCUCCUUCCUCCCUCCUUUAUAUACAUGGGCAGGGGGCACCCCAAAGGCACUCCAAGAUUUGUCUUAGCCGUGUGCGGUGCCCCCUCCACAGUUACACACCUCGGUCAUAUCGUCGUAGUGCUUAGGCGAAGCCCUGCGCCGAUAACUUCAUCAUCACCGUCACCACGCUGUCGUGCUGACGGAACUCUCCCUCGGCCUCAACUGGAUCAAGAGCUCGAGGGAUGUCAUCGAGCUGAACGUGUGCAGACGCGGAGGUGCCGUGCGUUCGGUACUUGGAUUGGUUGGAUCGUGAAGACGUUCGACUACAUCAACCGCGUUACUAAACGCUUCCGCUUUUGGUCUACGAGGGUACGUGGACACACUCUCCCCGCUCAUUGCUAUGCUUCUCCUAGAUAGAUCUUGCGUGAUCGUAGGAAUUUUUUUUAAAUACUACGUUCCACAACAUUGCCAAGAAACCCAAGUUGUCGUUUCUUAAAGUUUGGGGCUGCGAUGCUUAUGUGAAAAAGAUUCAACCUGAUAAGCUCGAACCCAAAUUGGAGAAAUGUGUCUUCAUAGGAUACCCAAAGGAAACUGUUGGGUACACCUUCUAACACAGAUCUGAAGGCAAAAUAUUCGUUGCUAAGAAUGGAUCCUUUCUAGAGAAGGAGUUUAUCUCGAAAGAAGUGAGUGGGAGGAAAGUAGAACUUGAUGAGGUAACUGUACCUGCUCCCUUAUUGGAAAGUAGUUCAUCACAGAAAUCAGUUCCAGUGAUUCCUACACCAAUUAGUGAGGAAGCUAAUGAUAAUGAUCAUGAAACUUCUGAUCAAGUUACUACCGAACCUCGUAGGUCAACCAGAGUAAGAUCCGCACCAGAAUGGUACGGUAAUCCUAUUCUGGAGGUCAUGUUGCUUGACCAUGACGAACCUACGAACUAUGAGGAAGCGAUGAUGAGCCCAGAUUCCACAAAAUGGCUUGAAGCCAUGAAAUCUGAGAUGGGAUCCAUUUAUGGGAACAAAGUGUGGACUUUGGUUGACUUGUCCGAUGGUCGGCAGGCCAUAGAGAAUAAAUGGAUCUUCAAUAAGAAGACUGACGCUAACGGUAAUUUUACUGUUUACAAAGCUCGACUUGUUGCGAAUGGUUUUUGACAAGUUCAAGGAGUUGACUAUGACGAGACCUUCUCACCCGUAGCAAUGCUUAAGUCCAUCCGAAUCAUGUUAGCAAUUGCCGCAUUUUAUGAUUAUGAAAUUUGGCAAAUGGAUGUCAAAACUGCAUUCCUAAAUGGAUUUCUGGAAGAAGAGUUGUAUAUGAUGCAACCAGAAGGUUUUGUCGAUCCAAAGGAUGCUAACAAAGUGUGCAAGCUCCAGCGAUCCAUUUAUGGACUGGUGCAAGCAUCUCGGAGUUGGAAUAAACGUUUUGAUAGUGUGAUCAAAGCAUAUGGUUUUAUACAGACUAUUGGAGAAGCCCGUAUUUACAAGAAAGUGAGUGGGAUCUCUGUAGCAUUUCUAAUAUUAUAUGUGGAUGACAUAUUGUUGAUUGGAAAUGAUAUAGAAUUUCUGGAUAGCAUAAAAGGAUACUUGAAUAAGAGUUUUUCAUUGAAAGACCUCGGUGAAGCUGCUUAUAUAUUGGGCAUCAAAAUCUAUAGAGAUAGAUCAAGACGCUUAAUUGGACUUUCACAAAGCACAUACCUUGAUAAAGUUUUGAAGAAGUUCAAAAUGGAUCAAGCAAAGAAAGGAUUCUUGCCUGUAUUACAAGGUGUGAAGUUGAGUCAGACUCAAUGCCCGACCACUUCAGAAGAUAGAGAGAAAUUGAAAGUCAUUCCCUAUGCUUCAGCCAUAGGUUCUAUCAUGUAUGCAAUGCUUUGUACCAGACCUGAUGUGUGCCUUGCUAUUAGUUUAGCAGGGAGGUACCAAAGUAAUCCAGGAGUGGAUCACUGGAGCGGUCAAGAACAUCCUGAAAUACCUGAAAAGGACUAAGGAUAUGUUUCUCGUUUAUGGAGGUGAUAAAGAGCUCGUCGUAAAUGGUUACGUCGAUGCAAGCUUUGACACUGAUCCGGAUGACUCUAAGUCACAAACCGGAUACAUAUUUAUAUUAAAUGGAGGAGCUGUAAGUUGGUGCAGUUCCAAACAGAGCGCCGUGGCGGGAUCUACGUGUGAAGCGGAGUACAUAGCUGCUUCGGAAGCAACAAAUGAAGGAGUCUGGAUGAAGGAGUUCAUAUCUGAUCUAGGUGCCAUACCUAGUGCAUCGGGUCCAAUGAAAAUCUUUUGUGACAAUACUGGUGCAAUUGCCUUGGCAAAGGAAUCCAGAUUUCAAAAGAGAACCAAGCACAUCAAGAGAUGCUUCAAUUCCAUCCGCGAUCAAGUCAAGGAGGGAGACAUAGAGAUUUGCAAGAUACAUACGGAUCUGAAUGUUGCAUACCCGUUGACUAAGCCUCUCUCACGAGCAAAACAUGAUCAGCACCAAGACUCCAUGGGUGUUAGAAUCAUUACAAUGUAAUCUAGAUUAUUGACUCUAGUGCAAGUGGGAGACUGAAGGAAAUAUGCCCUAGAGGCAAUAAUAAAGUUGUUAUUUAUAUUUCCUUAUAUCAUGAUAAAUAUUUAUUAUUCAUGCUAGAAUUGUAUUAACCGGAAACUUAGUACAUGUGUGAAUACAUAGACAAACAGACUGUCCCUAGUACGCCUCUACUAGACUAGCUCGUUGAUCAAAGAUGGUUAAUUUUCCUAGCCAUAGACAUGUGUUGUCAUUUGAUGAACGGGAUCACAUCAUUAGAGAAUGAUGUGAUGGACAAGACCCAUCCGUUAGCUUAGCACUUUGAUCGUUUAGUUUAUUGCUAUUGCUUUCUUCAUGACUUAUACAUGUUCCUAGGACUAUGAGAUUAUGCAACUCCCGAAUACCGGAGGAACACUUAGUGUGCUAUCAAACGUCACAACGUAACUGGGUGAUUAUAAAGAUGCUCUACAGGUGUCUCCGAUGGUGUUUGUUGAGUUGGCAUAGAUCAAGAUUACGAUUUGUCACUCUGAUUGUCAGAGAGGUAUCACUAGGCCCUCUCGGUAAUGCAAAUCACUCUAAGCCUUGCAAGCAAAGUGACUAAUGAGUUAGUUGAGGGAUGAUGCAUUACAGACCGAGUAAAGAGACUUGCCGGUAACGAUAUAGAACUAGGUAUGGUGAUACCGAUGAUCGAAUCUCGGGCAAGUAACAUACCAAUGACAAAGGGAAGAACGUAUGUUGUUAUGCGGUUUGACCGAUAAAGAUCUUCGUAGAAUAUGUAGGAGCCAAUAUGAGCAUCCAGGUUCCGCUAUUGGUUAUUGACCGGAGAGGUGUCUCGGUAAUGUCUACAUAGUUCUUGAACCCGUAGGGUCCGCACGCUUAAUGUUCGAUGACGAUUCAUAUUAUGAGUUUAUGUGUUUUGAUGUACCGAAGGUUGUUCGGAGUCCAGGAUGAGAUCACGGACAUGACGAGGAGUCUCGAAAUGGUCGAGACAUAAAGAUUGAUAUAUUGGAAGUUUAUAUUCGGACAACGGAAUGGUUUUGAAGUGUAUCGGGUAUUUUCCGGAGUACCGGGAGGUUACCGGAAACCCCCGGGGGAUUAAUGGGCCACAAUGGGCCUUGGUGGAGAAGAGAGAGGGCCGGCCAGAGGUGGCGCCCCCCCUUGCCCAGUCCGAAUUGGACACGGGGAAGGCCCCCCCUCUUCCUUCUCUUCUCUCCUCUUUCCCUUCUUCUCCUUCUUGGACUAGGAAAGGGGGAAACCUACUCCUCCUAGGAGUAGGAUUCCUCCCCCCUUGGCGCGCACCUUGUGGCCGGCCGUCCUCCUCCUCCUCUCCUUUAUAUACGGGGGAGGGGGCACCCCAUAGACACACAAGUUGAUCUUUAGCCAUGUGCGGUGCCCCCUCCACAGUUUCCACCUCGGUCAUAUUCUCGUAGUGCUUACGCGAAGCCCUGCGUCGGUAACUUCAUCAUCACUGUCACCACGCCAUCGUGCUGACGAAACUCUCCCUCGACCUCAGCUGGAUCUAGAGUUCGAGGGACAUCACUGAGCUGAACGUGUGCAGAUCGCGGAGGUGUCAUGCGUUCGGUACUUGAUCGGUUGGAUCGCGAAGACGUUCGACUACAUCAACCGUGUUACUAAACGCUUCCGCUUUCGGUCUAGGAGAGUACGUGGACACACUCUCCCCGCUCGUUGCUAUGCUUCUCCUAGAUAGAUCUUGCGUGAUCGUAGGAUUUUUUUUUGAAAUACUACGUUCCCCAACAUCUCUGUCCUCUCUCCUUCUCUCCUCCCUCCCCCAUCCCGGCCUCCUCCCUCCCUCUCUCCUCCCUCCCUCUCUCCUCCCUCCCUCCCUCCCUUCCUCCCUCCUAAAUCUAUGUUUUUUGAAUAAAAUAGAACAUAUAGGUUAUAUGAACAGAAUGUAGGUAUUUUGACUAGAAUAAAAUAUAAAAUAUAGCUAGAAUGGAGGUUUUACGAAUAGAAAAGAAAACUAGCAAAUAUGUUUUUUGAAUAUAAAAAGUUUUAGUAAUACAAAAUUAGUAAAAGAAAAUUUUAGUAAUACAAAAUUUUAGUAAUAGAGAUUUUUAGGUAUAGAAAAUUUUCAAUUAUAGAAAUGUAUUGGAAUGCUAUAUGAGAAAUUUUUAGGUAUUGAAUUUAGUAAUAAUUUUUUUAGGUAUCUAAUUUUUUUCACUCGGUGGAAUAUGCAUGCUUUGUAGAGUCGCGUCUUGAUGUCUACUACGCAACUUUAUUCUUGUAGACACGUGUUGGGCCUCCAAGCGUAGAGUUUUGUAGGACAGUAGCAAUUUCCCCUCAAGUGGAUGACCUAAGGUUUAUCAAUCCGUGGGAGGCGUAGGAUGAAGAUAGUCUCUCUUGAACAACCCUGCAACCAAAUAACAAAGAGUCUCUUUUGUCCCCAACACACCGAAUACAAUGGUAAUUUGUAUAGGUGCACUAGUUCGGCGAAGAGAUGGUGAUACAAGUGUAAUAUGGAUAGUAGAUAUUGUUUAUUAAUAAGAACAAUAAAAAACAGCAAGGUAGCAAUUGAUAAAACGGAGCAUAAACGAUAUUGCAAUGCUUGAAAAUGAGGCCUAGGGUCCGUAUUUUCGCUAGUGCAGUCUCCCAACAAUGCUAAUAUAAUUGGAUCAUAUAACCAUCCCUCAAAGUGUGAUGAAGAAUCACUCCAAAGUUCCUAUCUAGAAGAGAACAUCAGAAGAAAUUGUUUCUAGGGUACGAAACCACCUCGAAGCUGUUCUUUCCGAUCGAUCUAUCCAAGAGUUCAUACUAAAUAACACCAAACAAUUUCAGAUUCAUAAUACUCAAUCCAACACAAAGAACCUCAAAGAGUGCCCCAAGAUUUCUACCGGAGAAACAAAGACGAGAACGUGCAUCAACCCCUAUGCAUAGAUUACCCCAAUGUCACCUCGGGAAUCCGCGAGUUGAGUGCCAAAACAUAUAUCAAGUGAAUCAAUAGGAUACCCCAUUGUCACCACGAGUAUUCAUAUGCAAGACAUAUAUCAAGUGCUAUCAAAUCCGUAAAAGUAUUCAAUCUGAUAAAAUGAAAUCUCAAAGGGGAAGCUCAAUUCAUCACAACAAGAUAGAGAGGGGAAAACACCAUAUGAUCCGACUAUAUUAACAAAGCCCGCGAUACAUCAAGAUCAUCAUAUCUCAAGAACACGAGAGAGAGAGAGAUUAAACACAUAGCUACUGGUAGAAACCCUCAGCCCCGAGGGUGGACUACUCCCUCCUCAUCGUGGUGGCCGCCGGGAUGAUGAAGAUGGCCACCGGUGAUGAUCUCCCCCUCCGGCAGGGUGCCGAAAUGGGGUCUAGAUUGAUUUCUCAUGGCUACAGAGCCUUGUGGCGGCGGAACUUCUGAUCUAGGGUAACCCCGAGGGUUUUUGGAAUAUUUGGUGAAUUAUAGGGCAAAGAGGGGGCGCGGGAGACCACCGAGGUGGGCACAACCCACCUGGGCGCGCCUGGGCCCCCAGGCGCGCCCUGGUGGGUUGUGCCCCCCUCAGGGCACCCCCCAGGUGCUUCUCUGGCCCACUGGAUGUCUUCUGGUCUAUAAAAACUCCAUAAAAAGUUUCACGGUGUUUGGACUCUGUUUGAUAUUAAUUUCCUGCGAUGUAAAAAACAAGCAAAAAACAGCAACUGGCACUGGGCACUGGGUCAAUAGGUUAGUCCCAAAAAAUGAUAUAAAGUUGCUAUAAAAUGAUUGUAAAACAUCCAAGAAUGGUAAUAUAACAACAUGAAUACUUCAUAAAUUAUAGAUACGUUGGAGACGUAUCAGCAUCCCCAAGCUUAAUUCCUACUCGUCCUCGAGUAGGUAAAUGAUAAAAGAAAUAAUUUAUGAAGUGUGAAUGCUAGCAAAGUGCAUAUUUUUUAUCAAUGAUAAUUUCAAUCACUUUUCCUAGCAUCAUAACAACAAUUCUUUCUUAUAAAACUUCUCAUGAUAAAGUAGCAACCAAUUCACAUGUUAAGUUUCAAACAAUGAAUUCUCUUGAAACUCAACAACCUAUGUUCUCAGUCACCAAGCAAUUGCAAUUUCAACUUAUUCAACAGUGUCUAAGUAAGAGCUCCACAUACUCAACCAUCAUAUAGUCUUCUAUGAUUGCUAACACUCACCGCAUACACAUGAGCAAAACAUUUCAACCGGACACAUAGGAAGAUAGAGGCUCAUAAUUUCACCUCCCAACGUAUUCACCUCAAGGGUGAUGUCAACAAUAACAACUCAUGCUACCCAUAUCCGACUGGAUAUAUGUGCCUAGAUCUUUCCUCACCACAUGAUGCUUGCCAAAAGAGAAAAAUAAAAAGGAAUAGAGGGAAAAACUUUGACUCUUGCAUGAAAGUAAAUACAUAAAAGUAAAAUGUAGGCCCUUCAUAGAGGGAAGCAGAGGUUGCCAUGCGCUUUUUGUUUGUAUGCUCAACCCCUUAGUGCAAAAGACGUCACGUUAUAUUGCCCCUUAUGAUAGCAACCUUUAUUAUGCAGUCUGUCGCUUUUAUUCUUUGCCAUCACAAGUUUGUACAAUGCUCAAUUUUCUCUUACACUAAAUGAUCUAAUACUUUUAGAAGCAAGUUUUAUUACCUUAUUGCACCGAUGACAACUUACUUGAAGGAUAUUACUCAAUCCUUAGGUAGGUAUGGUGGACUCUUGAAAAUAAGAUUUGGGUUUAAGGGGUUUUGGAUGCACAAGUUGAAGGAAAUAUGCUCUAGAGGCAAUAAUAAAGUUAUUAUUUAUUUCCUUAUAUCAUGAUAAAUGUUUAUUAUUCAUGCUAUAAUUGUAUUAACCGGAAACAUAAUACAUGUGUGAAUACAUAGACAAACAGAGUGUCACUAGUAUGCCUCUACUUGACUAGCUCGUUGAUCAAAGAUGGUUAUGUUUCCUAGCCAUAGACAUGAGUUGUCAUUUGAUUAACGGGAUCACAUCAUUAGGAGAUUGAUGUGAUUGACUUGACCCAUUCCGUCAGCUUAGCACUCGAUCGUUUAGUAUGUUGCUAUUGCUUUCUUCAUGACUUAUACAUGUUCCUAUGACUAUGAGAUUAUGCAACUCCCGUUUACCGGAGGAACACUUUGUGUGCUACCAAACGUCACAACGUAACUGGGUGAUUAUAAAGGUGCUCUACAGGUGUCUCCGAAGGUACUUGUUGGGUUGGCGUAUUUCGAGAUUAGGAUUUGUCACUCCGAUUGUCGGAGAGGUAUCUCUGGGCCCUCUCGGUAAUGCACAUCACUUAAGCCUUGCAAGCAUUGCAACUAAUGAGUUUGUUGCGGGAUGAUGUAUUACGGAAUGAGUAAAGAGACUUGCGGGUAACGAGAUUGAACUAGGUAUUGAGAUACCGACGAUCGAAUCUCGGGCAAGUAACAUACCGAUGACAAAGGGAACAACGUAUGUUGUUAUGCGGUCGGACCGAUAAAGAUCUUCGUAGAAUAUGUCAGAGCCAAUAUGAGCAUCCAGGUUGCGCUAUUGGUUAUUGACCGGAGACGUGUCUCGUUCAUGUCUACAUAGUUCUCGAACCCGUAGGAUCCGCACGCUUAAAGUUUCGAUGACAGUUAUAUUAUGAGUUUAUAUGUUUUGAUAUACCGAACGGAGUCCCGGAUGUGAUCACGGACAUGACGAGGAAUCUCGAAAUGGUCGAGACAUGAAGAUUGAUAUAUUGGAAGCCUAUGUUUGGAUAUCAAAAAUGUUCCGGGUGAAAUCGGAAUUUUACCAGAGUACCGGGAGGUUACCGGAACCCCUCGGGGGCUUAAUGGGCCAUAGUGGGCCUUAGUGAAAGAGAGGAGAGGCGGCCAGGGCAGGGCCGCGUGCCCCCCCCUAGUCCGAAUAGGACAAGGAGAGGGGGGGCGCCCCCCUUUCCUUCCUCUCUCCCUCCUCUUUCCCCCUCCACUCCUAGUCCAACAAGGAAAAGGGAGGGAGUCCUACUCCCGGUGGGAGUAGGACUCCUCCUGGCGCGCCCCUCCUGGCCGGCCGCACCUCUCCCCCUUGCUCCUUUAUAUACAGGGCAGGGGGGCACCCUAGAGACACAACAAUUGAUCGUCUGAUCUUUUAGCCGUGUGCGGUGCCCCCCUCCACCAUAGUCCACCUCGAUAAUACUGUAGCAGUGCUUAGGCAAAGCCCUGCGUCGGUAGAACAUCAUCAUCAUCACCACGCCGUCGUGCUGACAAAACUCUCCCUCAACACUCGGCUGGAUCGGAGUUCGAGGGACGUCAUCGGGCUGAACGUGUGCUGAACUCGGAGGUGCCGUACGUUCGGUACUUGAUCGGUCGGAUCGUGAAGACGUACGACUACAUCAACCGCGUUGUGCUAACGCUUCCGCUUUCGGUCUACGAGGGUACGUAGACAACACUCUCCCCUCUCGUUGCUAUGCAUCACCAUGAUCUUGCGUGUGCGUAGGAAAUUUUUUGAAAUUACUAUGUUCCCCAACAGUGGUAUCAGAGCCAGGUUUUAUGCGUUGAUGUUAUAUGCACAAGUAGAACACAAGUGAGUUGUGGGCGAUAUAAGUCAUACUGCUUACCAGCAUGUCAUACUUUGGUUCGGUGGUAUUGUUGGAUGAAGCGGCCCGGACCGACAUUACGCGUACGCUUACGCGAGACUGGUUCUUCCGACGUGCUUUGCACAGAGGUGGCUGGCGGGUGUCAGUUUCUCCAACUUUAGUUGAACCGAGUGUGGCUACGCCCGGUCCUUGCGAAGGUUAAAACAACACCAACUUGACAAACUAUCGUUGUGGUUUUGAUGCGUAGGUAAGAACGGUUCUUGCUAAGCCCAGUAGCAGCCACGUAAAACUUGCAACAACAAAGUAGAGGACGUCUAACUUGUUUUUGCAGGGCAUGUUGUGAUGUGAUAUGGUCAAGACAUGAUGCUAAAUUUUAUUGUAUGAGAUGAUCAUGUUUUGUAACCGAGUUAUCGGCAACUGGCAGGAGCCAUAUGGUUGUCGCUUUAUUGUAUGCAAUGCAAUUGCCCUGUAAUGCUUUACUUUACCACUAAGUGGUAGCGAUAGUCGUAGAAGCAUAAGAUUGGCGAGACGACAACGAUGCUAUGAUGGAGAUCAAGGUGUCACGCCGGUGACGAUGGUGAUCAUGACGGUGCAUCGAAGAUGGAGAUCACAAGCACAAGAUGAUGAUGGCCAUAUCAUAUCACUUAUAUUGAUUGCAUGUGAUGUUUAUCUUUUAUGCAUCUUAUCUUGCUUUGAUUGACGGUAGCAUUAUAAGAUGAUCCCUCACUAAAUUAUCAAAGUAUAAGUGUUCUCCCUGAGUAUGCACCGUUGCGAAAGUUCUUCAUGCUGAGACACCACGUGAUGCUCGGGUGUGAUAGGCUCUACAUUCAAAUACAACGGGUGCAAAACAGUUGCACACGCGGAAUACUCAGGUUAAGCUUGACGAGCCUAGCAUAUAACAGAUAUGGCCUCGGAACACGGAGACCGAAAGGUCGAGCGUUAAUCAUAUAGUGGAUAUGAUCAACAUAGUGAUGUUCACCGUUGAAACUACUCCAUCUCACGUGAUGAUCGGACAUGGUUUAGUUGAUAUGGAUCACGUGAUCACUUAGAGGAUUAGAGGGAUGUCUAUCUAAGUGGGAGUUCUUAAGUAAUAUGAUUAAUUGAACUUAAAUUUAUCAUGAACUUAGUACCUGAUAGUAUCUUGCUUGUCUAUGUUGAUUGUAGAUAGAUGGCCCGUGCUGUUGUUCCGUUGAAUUUUAAUGCGUUCCUUGAGAAAGCAAAGUUGAAAGAUAAUGGUAGCAAUUACACGGACUGGGUCCGUAACUUGAGGAUUAUCCUCAUUGCUGCACAUAAGAAUUACGUCCUGGGAGCACCGCUGGGUGCCAGACCUGCUGCAAGAGAAACACCAGAUGUUAUGAACGUCUGGCAGAGCAAAGCUGAUGACUACUCGAUAGUUCAGUGUGCCAUGCUUUACGGCUUAGAACCGGGUCUUCAACGACGUUUUGAACAUCAUGGAGCAUAUGAGAUGUUCCAGGAGUUGAAGUUAAUAUUUCAAGCAAAUGCCCGGAUUGAGAGAUAUGAAGUCUCCAAUAAGUUCUACAGCUGCAAGAUGGAAGAGAAUAGUUCUGUCAGUGAGCAUAUACUCGAAAUGUCGGGGUAUAACAAUCACUUGAUUCAACUGGGAGUUAAUCUUCUGGAUGAUAGCGUCAUUGACAGAAUUCUUCAAUCACUGCCACCAAGCUACAAGAGCUUCGUGAUGAACUAUAACAUGCAAGGGAUGGAUAAGACGAUUCCCGAGCUCUUCGCAAUGCUAAAGGCUGCGGAGGUAGAAAUCAAAAAGGAGCAUCAAGUGUUGAUGGUCAAUAAGACCACCAGUUUCAAGAAAAAGGGCAAAGGGAAGAAGAAGGGGAACUUCAAGAAGAACAACAAGCAAGUUGCUAUUCAGGAGAAGAAACCCAAGUCUGGACCUAAGCCUGAGACUGAGUGCUUCUACUGCAAGCAGACUGGUCACUGGAAGCGGAACUGCCCCAAGUAUUUGGCGGAUAAGAAGGAUGGCAAGGUGAACAAAGGUAUAUGUGAUAUACAUAUUAUUGAUGUGUACCUUACUAAUGCUCGCAGUAGCAGCUGGGUAUUUGAUACUGGUUCUGUUGCUAAUAUUUGCAACUCGAAGCAGGGGCUACGGAUUAAGCGAAGAUUGGCUAAGGACGAGGUGACGAUGCGCGUGGGAAAUGGUUCCAAAGUCGAUGUGAUCGCGGUCGGCACGCUACCUCUACAUCUACCUUCGGGAUUAGUUUUAGACCUGAAUAAUUGUUAUUUGGUCCCAGCGUUGAGCAUGAACAUUAUAUCUGGAUCUUGUUUGAUGCGAGACAGUUAUUCAUUUAAAUCAGAGAAUAAUGGUUGUUCUAUUUAUAUGAGUAAUAUCUUUUAUGGUCAUGCACCCUUGAAGAGUGGUCUAUUUUUGUUGAAUCUCGAUAGUGGAGAUACACAUAUUCAUAGUAUUGAAGCCAAAAGAUGCAGAGUUGAUAAUGAUAGUGCAACUUAUUUGUGGCACUGCCGUUUAGGUCAUAUCGGUGUAAAGCGCAUGAAGAAACUCCAUACUAACGGACUUUUGGAUCCACAUGAUUAUGAAUCACUUGGUACUUCCGAACCGUGCCUCAUGGGCAAGAUGACUAAAACGCCGUUCUCCAGAACUAUGGAGAGAGCAACAGAUUUGUUGGAAAUCAUACAUACAGAUGUAUGUGGUCCGAUGAAUGUUGAGGCUCGUGGCGGAUAUCGUUAUUUUCUCACCUUCACAGAUGAUUUAAGCAUAUAUGGGUAUAUCUACUUAAUGAAACAUAAGUCUGAAACAUUUGAAAAUUUCAAAGAAUUUCAGAGUGAAGUUGAAAAUCAUCGUAACAAGAAAAUAAAGUUUCUACGAUCUGAUCGUGGAGGAGAAUAUUUGAGUUAUGAGUUUGGUCUUCAUUUGAAACAAUGCGGAAUAGUUUCGCAACUCACGCCACCCGAAACACCACAGCGUAAUGGUGUGUCCGAACGUCGUAAUCGUACUUUACUAGAUAUGGUGCGAUCUAUGAUGUCUCUUACUGAUUUACCGCUAUCAUUUUGAGGUUAUGCUUUAGAGACGGCCGCAUUCACGUUAAAUAGGGCACCAUCAAAAUCCGUUGAGACGACGCCUUAUGAACUGUGGUUUGGCAAGAAACCAAAGUUGUCGUUUCUUAAAGUUUGGGGCUGCGAUGCUUAUGUGAAAAAUCUUCAACCUGAUAAGCUCGAACCCAAAUCGGAGAAAUGUGUCUUCAUAGGAUACCCAAAGGAGACUGUUGGGUACACCUUCUAUCACAGAUUCGAAGGCAAGACUUUUGUUGCAAAAUUCGGAAUCUUUCUGGAGAAGGAGUUUCUCUCGAAAGAAGUGAGUGGGAGGAAAGUGGAACUUGAUGAGGUAACUGUACCUGCUCCCUUAUUGGAAAGUAGUUCAUCGCAGAAACCAGUUUCCGCGACGCUUAUACCAAUUAGUGAGGAAGUUAAUGAUGAUGAUCAUGGAACUUCAGAUCAAGUUAUUACUGAACCUCGUAGGUCAACCAGAGUAAGAUCCGCACCAGAGUGGUAUGGUAAUCCUGUUCUGGAGGUUAUGUUACUAGACCAUGACGAACCUACGAACUAUGAAGAAGCGAUGGUGAGCCCAGAUUCUGCAAAAUGGCUUGAAGCCAUGAAAUCUGAGAUGGGAUCCAUGUAUGAGAACAAAGUGUGGACUUUGGUUGACUUGCCCGAUGAUCGGCAAGCAAUUGAGAAUAAAUGGAUCUUCAAGAAGAAGACUGACGCUGACGGUAAUGUUACUAUCUAUAAAGCUCGACUUGUUGCAAAAGGUUUUCGACAAGUUCAAGGGAUUGACUACGAUGAGACCUUCUCAUCCGUAGCGAUGCUUAAGUCUGUCCGAAUCAUGUUAGCAAUUGCCGCAUUUUAUGAUUAUGAAAUUUGGCAAAUGGAUGUCAAAACUGCAUUCCUGAAUGGAUUUCUGGAAGAAGAGUUGUAUAUGAUGCAACCGGAAGGUUUUGUCGAUCCAAAGGGAGCUAACAAAGUGUGCAAGCUCCAGCGAUCCAUUUAUGGACUGGUGCAAGCCUCUCGGAGUUGGAAUAAACGCUUUGAUAGUGUGAUCAAAGCAUUUGGUUUUGUACAGACUUUUGGAGAAGCCUGUAUUUACAAGAAAGUGAGUGGGAGCUCUGUAGCAUUUCUGAUAUUAUAUGUGGAUGACAUAUUGCUGAUUGGAAAUGAUAUAGAAUUUCUGGAUAGCAUAAAGGGAUACUUGAAUAAGAGUUUUUCAAUGAAAGACCUCGGUGAAGCUGCAUAUAUAUUAGGCAUCAAGAUCUAUAGAGAUAGAUCAAGAUGCUUAAUUGGACUUUCACAAAGCACAUACCUUGACAAAGUUUUGAAGAAGUCCAAAAUGGAUCAAGCAAAGAAAGGGUUCUUGCCUGUAUUACAAGGUGUGAAGUUGAGUAAGACUCAAUGCCCGACCACUGCAGAAGAUAGAGAGAAGAUGAAGGAUUUUCCCUAUGCUUCAGCCAUAGGCUCUAUCAUGUAUGCAAUGCUGUGUACCAGACCUGAUGUGUGCCUUGCUAUAAGUCUAGCAGGGAAGUACCAAAGUAAUCCAGGAGUGGAUCACUGGACAGCGGUCAAGAACAUCCUGAAAUACCUGAAAAGGACUAAGGAUAUGUUUCUCGUUUAUGGAGGUGACAAAGAGCUCAUCGUAAAUGGUUACGUUGAUGCAAGCUUUGACACUGAUCCGGACGAUUCUAAAUCGCAAACUGGAUACCUGUUUACAUUAAAUGGUGGAGCUGUCAGUUGGCUGGAUCUACGUGUGAAGCGGAAUACAUAGCUGCUUCGGAAGCAGCAAAUGAAGGAGUCUGGAUGAAUGAGUUCAUAUCCGAUCUAGGUGUCAUACCUAGUGCAUCGGGUUCAAUGAAAAUCUUUUGUGACAAUACUGGUGCAAUUGCCUUGGCGAAGGAAUCCAGAUUUCACAAGAGAACCAAGCACAUCAAGAGACGCUUCAAUUCCAUCCGGGAUUUAGUCCAGGUGGGAGACAUAGAAAUUUGCAAGAUACAUACGGAUCUGAAUGUUGCAUACCCGUUUACUAAGCCUCUUCCACGAGCAAAACAUGAUCAACACCAAGGCUCCAUGGGUGUUAGAAUCAUUACUGUGUAAUCUAGAUUAUUGACUCUAGUGCAAGUGGGAGACUGAAGGAAAUAUGCCCUAGAGGCAAUAAUAAAGUUAUUAUUUAUUUCCUUAUAUCAUGAUAAAUGUUUAUUAUUCAUGCUAGAAUUGUAUUAACCGGAAACAUAAUACAUGUGUGAAUACAUAGACAAACAGACUGUCACUAGUAUGCCUCUACUUGACUAGCUCGUUGAUCAAAGAUGGUUAUGUUUCCUAGCCAUAGACAUGAGUUGUCAUUUGAUUAACGGGAUCACAUCAUUAGGAGAAUGAUGUGAUUGACUUGACCCAUUCCGUCAGCUUAGCACUCGAUCGUUUAGUAUGUUGCUAUUGCUUUCUUCAUGACUUAUACAUGUUCCUAUGACUAUGAGAUUAUGCAACUCCCGUUUACCGGAGGAACACUUUGUGUGCUACCAAACGUCACAACGUAACUGGGUGAUUAUAAAGGUGCUCUACAGGUGUCUCCGAAGGUACUUGUUGGGUUGGCGUAUUUCGAGAUUAGGAUUUGUCACUCCGAUUGUCGGAGAGGUAUCUCUGGGCCCUCUCGGUAAUGCACAUCACUUAAGCCUUGCAAGCAUUGCAACUAAUGAGUUUGUUGCGGGAUGAUGUAUUACGGAAUGAGUAAAGAGACUUGCGGGUAACGAGAUUGAACUAGGUAUUGAGAUACCGACGAUCGAAUCUCGGGCAAGUAACAUACCGAUGACAAAGGGAACAACGUAUGUUGUUAUGCGGUCUGACCGAUAAAGAUCUUCGUAGAAUAUGUCAGAGCCAAUAUGAGCAUCCAGGUUCCGCUAUUGGUUAUUGACCGGAGACGUGUCUCGGUCAUGUCUACAUAGUUCUCGAACCCGUAGGAUCCGCACGCUUAAAGUUUUGAUGACAGUUAUAUUAUGAGUUUAUAUGUUUUGAUGUACCGAAGAUUGUUCGGAGUCCCGGAUGUGAUCACGGACAUGACGAGGAGUCUCGAAAUGGUCGAGACAUGAAGAUUGAUAUAUUGGAAGCCUAUGUUUGGAUAUCGAAAAUGUUUCGGGUGAAAUCGGAAUUUUACCGGAGUACCGGGAGGUUACCGGAACCCCCCGGGGGCUUAAUGGGCCAUAGUGGGCCUUAGUGGAAGAGAGGAGAGGCAGCCAGGGCAAGGCCGCGCGCCCCUCCCCCCUAGUCUCAAUAGGACAAGGAGAGGGGGGCGGCGCCCCCCUUUCCUUCCUCUCUCCCUCCUCUUUCCCCCUCCACUCCUAGUCCAACAAGGAAAAGGGAGGGAGUCCUACUCCCGGUGGGAGUAGGACUCCUCCUGGCGCACCCCUCCUGGCCGGCCGCACCUCUCCCCCUUGCUCCUUUAUAUACGGGGGCAGGGGGCACCCUAGAGACACAACAAUUGAUCGUCUGAUCUUUUAGCCGUGUGCGGUGCCCCCCUCCACCAUAGUCCACCUCGAUAAUACUGUAGCGGUGCUUAGGCGAAGCCCUGCGUCGGUAGAACAUCAUCAUCGUCACCACGCCGUCAUGCUGACGAAACUCUCCCUCAACACUCGGCUGGAUCGGAGUUCGAGGGACGUCAUCGGGCUGAACGCGUGCUGAACUCGGAGGUGCCGUACGUUCGGUACUUGAUCGGUCGGAUCGUGAAGACGUACGACUACAUCAACCGCGUUGUGCUAACGCUUCCGCUUUCGGUCUACGAGGGUACGUAGACAACACUCUCCCCUCUCGUUGCUAUGCAUCACCAUGAUCUUGCGUGUGCGUAGGAAUUUUUUUAAAAUUACUACGUUCCCCAACACAAGUAGUAUCUCUACUUGGUGUGGAAUUUUUGGCUAGCAAAGAUGGGGGGCAAGCACCACAUGUUGAAGGAUCUAUGCAAUAUAACUUCUAUGUGAAUAUGAACAAACAUAAAUCAUUACGUUGUCUUCCUUGUCCAACGUCAACAAUUUUGGCAUAUAAUAUUUUGAUGGGGGCUCACAAUCACAAAAGAUUUCCAAGAUAGUGUAUUUGCAUGUGAAAGUUCUCUUCCUUCUACUAAUCAUUCAUGAAUUGCUUGUAUGACCAAUAUUGUGAUUGUCAAGCUUCAAAAGAUUUCACUUUCUAAACCCAAUGUGAAGCUACCACUAGGCAUGAUAUAAUUUCAACUUCAUGAUUAUUCAAUUCAUUCAACAAUUUACUCAUAGGAUAUAAGUGAAGCACAAGAGUAAAUGACAAGCUACUCCAGAAAGAUAUAAGUGAAGAUCAAGCGAGUAGUUAAGUAAAUGGGUAGCUAAUUGGGGACUCUCUCUUAUUUAAAACUUUUAGAUCUAAGUAUUUUAUUAAAACAACAAGCAAAAUGAAAAUAAAAUGACAUUUCAAGGAUAGAACAACUCAUGUGAAGAAGCAAAAACUUAGGAUCAACCGAUACUAACCGAUAAUAGUUGAUGAAGAAAGGUGGGAUGCCUACCGGGGCAUCCCCAAGCUUAGAUGCUUGAGACUUCUUGAAAUAUUAUCUUGGUAUGCCUUGGGCAUCCCCAAGCUUGAGCUUUUGUGUCUCCUUAAUUACUUUUAUAUCACGUUUUCCCUAAAUCUUAAAAACUUCAUUCACACAAAACUCAACAAGAACUCGUGAGAUAAGUUAGUAUAAACCAAUGCAAAAACCUUAUCAUUCUCUACUGUAGAAAAUCACUAAAAUUAUUAUUCAACAUUGCAUACUAAAUGCCUCUGCAUAUUUAAUACUUCUAUCCUCAAAUAGAAUCAUUAAACAAGCAAACAUAUGCAAACAAUGCAAACAUAACAUCAAUCUGCCAAAACAGUACAGUCUGUAAAGAAUGCAAGAGUAUCAAUACUUCUUUAACUCCAAAAAUUAUGAAAAUUUACCACACUGUAGAAAAUUUAUCAGAGCUUACUGUGCAAAAAAUUUCAACAUUUUAUAACAUUCUGACUUUUCUAGGGAAUUUUAGCAACAGUGGUAAACUUUCUGUUUUGAAACAGCAACAUGUAUACUUGCAAAAUAAGCAUGGUGAAGGCUAUCAUUGACAUUUUUAUUGAAAUGAAAGAUGCAAAACAUUAUUCUAAAUAACAAAAAGCAAACCAAAACAAAAUAAAAUGAUGCUCCAAGCAAAACUCAUAUCAUGUGACGAAUAAAAAUAUAGCCUUAAGUGAGGUUACCGAUAAUGUUGAAGACUAAAGAGGGGAUGCCUUUCGGGGCAUCCCCAAGCUUAGUUGCUCGGAUCUUCCUUGGAUAUUAACUUGGGGGUGACUUCGGCAUCCCCAAGCUUAGGGUCUUAUCACUCCUUAUUCUCCUCAUAUCGAUAUCUCAUCCAAAACUUCAAAACUUCAAUCACACAAAACUUAACGGAACUUCGUGAGAUAGGUUAGUAUGAUAAAGAGCAAACCAUUCACUUUGGUACUGUCAAAGACAAGAUUCAUAAUUGUUCUCACACAAUGCCUACUGUAGCAUAUCAUUUCCAUAAUUUAUAUUGAGCAAUAUAAGCCAUAGAAACUAGAAAACAAGCAAACUAUGCAUGGAAAACAGAAUCUGUCAAAAACAGAACAAUCUGUAGUAAUCUGUACUCAAACCAUACUUCUGCUACUCCAAAAAUUCUGAAUAACUAGGACAACGUAGGAAAUUUGUAUAUCUAUCUUCUGUAAAAAAAUCAGAAUUUUUCCACGUUCCAGUAAAAUAUAAGAAUUUCUGCACUGGAUGCAAAAGUUUCUGUUUUUGCACAGAAUCAAGUCAACUAUCAUCCACACUAUCCCAAAGGCUUUACUUGCACUUUAUUGAAACAAAAGCUAUAAAACAUGAUUACUACAGUAUCAUAAUCAUGUGAACACACAAAAACAGUAGGUAAAAGUGUUGGGUUGUCUCCCAACAAGCGCUUUUCUUUUAUGCCUUUUAGCUAGGCAUGAUGAUUUUAAUGAUGCUCACAUAAAAGUAAAGAAUUGAAACACAAUGGGAGCAUCAUGAAACACAUGGCAAUCACAUUUAAGCCUAACCCACUUCCUAUGCAUAGGGAUUUCGUGAGCAAACAAUCUACGGGAGCAAAAAUCAACUAGCAUAGAAAGGCAAAACAAGCAUAACUUCAAUAUUUUCAACACAUAGAGAGGAAACUCGAUAUUAUUGCAAUACCUACAAGAAAAUGUUCCUCUCUCAUAAUAAUUUUCAGUAGCAUCAUGAAUGAAUUCAACAAUAUAGUUAUCAAAUAAAUCAUUCUUUUCAUGAUGUAUAAGCAUAGAAAAUUUGUUACUCUCCACAUAAGCAAAUUUAUUCUCAUCAAUAGUAGUGGGAGCAAACUGAACAAAAUAACUAUCAUGGGAGUGAAAAUUAAAAUCAUGAUGACAAGUUUCAUGGUUAUCAUUAUUCUUUAUAGCAUACAUGUCAUCACCAUAAUCAUCAUAGAUAGCAACUUUGUUAUCAUAGUCAAUUCAAGCCUCAUCCAAAAUGGUGGAUUCAUCACUAAAUAAAGUCAUGACCUCUCCGAAUCCACUUUCAUCAUUAUAAUCAUCAUAAAUAGGAGGCAUGCAAUCAUUAUAACAAAUUUGCAUAUCAAAUCUUGGGGGACUAAAAAUAUCAUCUUCAUCAAAUAUAGCAUCCCCAAGUGUAUGGCUUUGCAUAUCGUUAGCAUCAUGGAUAUUCAAAGAGUUCAUACCAACAACUUUGCAAUCAUGCUCAUCAUUUAUACCAAACAUUAUAUUGAAUUUUUUUUCUAUCAAUUGAACACAAUUUUCCUUUCCAUCAUUUUCAUGAAAGACAUUAUAAAGAUGAAUAAUAUGAUGCAACCUCAAUUUCCUUUUUUUAUAGUUUUCUUUUACGAACCAAACUAGUGAUAAAACAAGAAACUAAAAGAUUCGAUUGCAACAUCUAAAGAUAUACCUUCAAGCACUCACCUCCCCCACAACGGCGCCAGAAAAGUGCUUCGUUGACGAGGUGUGAGUCACGCUUACCUAGCCUCCCCGGCAACGGCGCCAGAAAAGAGCUUGAUGUCUACUACGCAACUUUAUUCUUGUAGACACGUGUUGGGCCUCCAAGCGCAGAAAAUACUGUUGAAUAGUGAUGUUUUUGUUUGAGAGACACCAUAAGCAUGGGACGGCCUCACUCCUUUGCUUGUCCGCCGCUGCAGUGACUUCACCAUUAUGCUAGUCUGCCGCUGUCUAUCAGACUUUCUCGUUGGCCCCAUCCCCAUGUAUAUUCCACCUCACUCGCAACCGUGUGAGGCGUUGCCGCCAUGAAAGCUGGCAAAAUGGACAAAAAUAACCCAAAGGCAAAAGUAAGUUAAAUUAGAAAAUAAACUCUCAGCAAAACUAUUUCACAGAAAUAACCCUUUCAGGCAGCGUCCAACGCGUAUGCGCUAUGCCCCACAGUGUAGUUCCUAACGCGUAGGCGCCACUUGAAAGGGGUUAGAUUUGCGAAAUACUUUUGUCAAGAGUUUAUUUUUUAAAUUUGUUUCGUCUUUGGAUUAUUUUUGUCCAUUUUGCCAUGAAAACCUAGCUGCCGCAUUGGGGAAAUAUCUGGUACUCCCACCCCUAGGAUGCUCCCAGGGCUCCAAAACUCUGUAGCACAUUGACGCAACAUCAAAGUAUGUUGUCAAAAAAUUUAAAACGUAGCUUGAGAAACAUAAAUGAAAAUUUUGACAGUAAAUAGUAUGCAAUUUAUGUUGGGCUUUAGAUUAGGCCCAUUAUUACUGAUGUCCAUUUUGUCAUUUUUGUAUCUCGAGCAAUGUUUUAAAUUUUGAUUUGAAUUUUUCUAACAUCAUACAUUGAUGUUGUGCAAUGUGCUGGAUUUUUUUCAGAAUAUUUUACCAUUUUAAAAUGUGCUACCGAGUUUGGAGCACCGGGAACACCCUAGAGAUGGAAGUACUAGAUAUUUCCCCGUGCCGCAUUGGUGACGGCAGAUUAGUGGUGCAUCCGGAGAUGACCAUUGUUUGUGGAUCUGGCGGUGACGGUAUCGGUAUUGUGCCGGUGGCGCUGGACAUGGCGGCGGACAUGUUUCGCAUCACAAAGAUUAUGAAAUUAUAAAGGGCUUGCACUUCGGGUACCUCGGAACAAAUGACGACGGAAAUUAGAUAAAGGGUAACUGUCGUGCACAGUUUUAAUCCGUCUGUAUAAUUUUUUCUAACUCGCCAAGCGAGGCCUUAAUCUCGCCGCUUUGUCGGUUCCAUCCACAGAUAUAUACGGUAAGAAAGUAGGAAACGACACACCUGAUACGGACAGUCUGAACAGUUAGCCGCCGUGCCCAAGAAAGUAGGAAACCUACCUCGGAGUCUCAUUCGCUCGGAUGAUCAGAAAUGUCUGCACCUCGACUAUCGAAUUAUCGAUGGAAGCUCCAUGACAAAAUUUCAUUCACUAAAACAAGGAAGAAGCGGCUGUUUAAAACUAUUUACCGCACACGCAAACAGAAACUGUGAUGGAUGCACUACGGUUUAACCGCCCAACUAACCAUCUUUGGGUUACAAAACCGAGGAAACGAGGCUGAGUUAACAUCCCCAGUUUAACCAACAUGCAUAGCAAUUGCUGUUCGUCGGGCUCUAUAUAAACACGAUGGAUCAACCAAUAUCCUCACAACCACAAAUAUAAUUGCAGCUGAUUUGCAAGCAGCCUGACAGACAUGGCUAACAUGAAGCUACUAGCCGUGCUUGCUCUCGUGCAGCUCCUGUCACGCCUCCACGUCCAUCGCGUCUCCGCGUCCGUGGACAUGCCGACAGCGACCAGCGGCGGCAGCUGCCACGUUAGUGGAUACCUGCCGGGCCAAUCCGGCAACUGCAACCCGGAUCACGGCUCCACCUGCUGCGUCAACGGACACCGGUACCCGCAGUACAAGUGCUCGCCCCCUGUGUUGGCUGAGACCCCGGCGAUCCUGACUAUAAACAGCUUCGAAGAAGGUGGAGAUGGGGGCGGCAAAUCAUUCUGCGACAACCGCUACCACAAGGACAGCGAGCUGGUGGUGGCGCUGUCCACGGGAUGGCUCCGCCUGGACGGCACGAACAGGUGCAACAAGAUGAUCCGUAUCAAUGGGAACGGGCAGUCCGUGACGGCCAAGGUCGUUGACGAGUGCGACUCGGUGUACGGCUGCGACAAGGAGCACAACUUCGAGCCGCCGUGCCCAAACAACGACGUGGACGCGUCGCCGGCCGUUUGGAAGGCUCUGGGCCUCAACGGGAACAUUGGAGAGUUCAAGGUCACUUGGUCUGAUGUGUGAGCACAAAUAUGUACGGGACAGUUCGCUCCUUAGUCCUCACUUGUUAUAUUAUAUGCAGCUGCCGUAGGGGUGUGUGCGCGCGCGCAGUGCUACCGUUGGUGGCGCGGAGUUGCUGCUAUUUAAAUAAGUCACUGUUCACAUGUACUCGUAUUUGCUAUUUUCCCAAGUUUAUGUAUUUGCCUUGUUUGGGUGAUAUAUUUUGCUCCUUCCAUUCACAAAUAUAAGCUGUUUUCAGAUAUUUCAUUCAGUAUAGAAUACAUACAGAUUAAAAUGAAUGAAUAAACACACUAAAAUGUGUCUACAUACAUCUGAUUCAGAAAAAAAUAUAUUAAAACAUCUUAUACUCAUUAAUUGGCCCUUAAACCCUCCACCUCCAUCGACGGGUUUCACACCCUAAGUGGCUAAAAGUUAGUAGAGGGCUUCGUCUUCAUUGACAUGCAUUAUACUAAUGAUAGUCAUGUGUUUCUAGGGCAUAGUUUUAAAUACCGAACCAUGCAAAAUAGUGUUCAGCUCUUCAAAUAAGCUAUAGCCGGCUAUUUCAUAAUUUUAUUAGACAAUUGUACAUAAAUCCAGUUAGCGGUAGCGUGCUCAAACUGCUACAGCGGGCUAUAUCCAGCUAUUUAAAACUCUGAUCACCGGUGAGUUUCUAGGUAUUAAGAAAAUAGAAUAUUUCCAAAACUAUACAUUAAGAAAAAGUGAAAAAUAAAAAAUAUGUUAAAAACCAUAAAAGAAAAACGAACAAAAAAUAAAAUGGAAAAAGAACAAUAAAGGCAAAAAGAAUAAGAAAAGCCUCGAACUCUCGCAUAGGUCGGCCAAGGCACGCAGACCCCUGCACACGUAGUAAACACUAGCACCGAAGACAUGCGGCGCACACCGCGCCCGUGACUUAUUCGAAAGAUGUUUUCAUAUUCUGCACCCAUGCAUGGUGGGAGGGGAUCAUAUUUUGCACCAGAAAACAAAAGAAGCCAGGAAUAAGAAUAGUUAGAAAACAUAAAAAAAAAAGCUGGCUGCAAUCCCUUCGAUGGUCCAUAUUUUGGCUGUGUUCGGCAGCCCUCCACUCCUCGGUCACCGAGCGGAGCGGGCGGAGCAUCCUUUUAGCCGCUCCAUAAAUUAGAACUAGCUGC
RNAcentral lists this long non-coding RNA (72922 nucleotides) under Triticum aestivum (bread wheat). Its description in RNAcentral is "long non-coding RNA (TAES_LNC009258)". The record is from RNAcentral. Lineage: Eukaryota; Viridiplantae; Streptophyta; Magnoliopsida; Poales; Poaceae.